CAUCCUCCUCCUUAUUUUUUUAGUUUACUUGAAAAUUCUAAGAGACAUUGAUCUUUUUACACAAGGGGUUGUUCCUCUAGAAAGAAAUUGCUAGUUAGAUUAUCAGUUUUGCUUUCCUUUUUGAAUAUUUAUUGCAUGUUGUGGCAUUUAAUUCUCAUAAAUACUGUUGUAUCUUUUAUGCAUACAUAGUCCUCUUCUUGUUUUAAAAAUAUUCAGCUUUUUCUCUUCCUUUUAGAUAUUGCAUGCUGGGCUAUUAUGUUGAUGUACCAGUGAAUUGGUGUUGUGAAGAAUGUGAUAUUGGCAAAGGGAUAAUGUCUUCAUCAAGCGGACUAGAAAUUGUGCAUUAUGAGGGAUCCAAGUUACAUGCCUCUGAAAAGAUUUGUCAGAGUAUUAUGCAACCAAAGAAACAUAGUAAGUUUCCUGGUGGACAUCGUUUUAACUGGGAAAAAGAGGUACGGACCGGGAAAUUGAGAUAUCUACCUGUUGAAGAAGCACUUGAUUUGUCAUCAAGCAUCAAGAAAUAUGGAUCUCCGCUGAUAGAUACGGUCUCCUCAAGAGUUGUGUCAACCAAAUCCAUGGCAACUAUGACGAGAGGGAUUUUUAGCAAGCCUAGAGCUCAAAUUUCAAACUCUUUUCGUGAGAAGAGAAAAAUGCAGCUGCCUUUAGGAUCAACAGGAUAUACGAAACCUCAAAAUCUUCAAAUUGCCGAAAACACUAAACAGAGCAAAAAAACAGUACAAUUAUCUAAAGGUUAAGUGUUCACCAAUAUAUUUUGUAUUAAUUACUUGAUUUGAUUUAUCCUCUUCUUAUACCUUAAUUAUUCUUCAGAAAUUUCAUUUUCUAGCAUAUACUCUAAAUAGUUUUUAAAAAUAAAAUGAUGUUGAUAUAUCUAGAGUUGAUAUUAUCUUUCAAAAUAAUUUCCGUUACACCAUCAAUAUCUAUAAAGCUUUCAUAGCAAAAAUUAUUUACUUAUGUACUUCCAUCCAAUUAAUGUAGCCUCUUUUUUAGGUCCGAAUGGUUCUACUAGUCUGGAGCAUAGGAGUCCUGAUGUUAUGAAUAAGAGUCGAAUGACGAAUUCAUCUAUGACACACCCUUGUGAUUAUGUUCUAGUUCCUUCCCAGAAGUAAGUAUCCUUCAUAGUAUACAAUUAUUACUAAUUCAAAUUCAGCUCAUGUAUGUUUCUAGAUGGCCCAUCUUUGCUAGUAGUCAGCUGACUAAUUAACCUAAUCUUUGUAAUUUUCUUAUUGAUAAGUACGGAAACAUAUAUAAUACAUUUUGUCAACAACAUAAUGUUGGUCCACGAGGAGAUGGCCAUGUGGUUAAGGCAUAAGACUAACAACUUCGACAUUCUAGGUCUGAAUCCCAGCUACAACACAUGGUGCGCCCAUCUGAUCUAGCCUUACUGGGAAGCAUUAACGUGUCAAUAUGUGUUUGUGGGAUGGACUAGUUGCCCAAUGAAUUAGUUGGGGUACAUGCAAGUUGGUUGGGACACCAUUAGUAUUGCUAAAAUAAUGAGUAGGGCACUGAAGAAUAUAUGACAUAAUGAUAAUCUGAAUGUGUACUGCUUAGUCAGAUGAUAAUUGAUCUAAUCUCUCUUCCUCUUUGCAUUUCAGGGGAAGUUCUGACAUCUUAGGUGCUUUGGAAUUUUUACCUAGGAUGCUCAAUAGUUGUAUCAAGGCUCAUCCUCCUUCUAGAGCUAGACGUAAGGUGUAUGAGUUCUCAGGUCUUUUUCCUGAUACUCUUAAAUUUGAACUUGUUCCCUGUGGGGAUAUUUGGGAAAGUCUAUUUAACAAUCAUAUUCCGAGUAAAGAAGAUAUAGGACUAUAUUUUUUUUGCAAGUGAGAAAGAAAGGUCAGCUUCUGCCUUAUAUAUCUAUCCGUAAAGGGGCAAUGGGUUGCAAAGUAGAAGUACCCCCUUGCCCAUGAACAUUUUUACUAGAAAUUGAUUCUCAGUUCCCAUUAUAUGUAGGUCUGAGAGAUAUAUUGCUCUAGUGGAGUUCAUGCGUAGCAAGGAUUUGGUGAUGAGAACGCUUAUAAAUGAUGUUGAGCUCCAUAUACUUGCAUCCAUAGCCAUGUGCACUGAUUCUCAAAGUACAUCUAUAAUUUCUAUGUUCUUUUCUCAUUUUUGAUGAAUUUUUAGGUAAUAAUAUAUUUACCUGUAUAUGCAGAAGAUUAUGCCUUUUUAAAGUGGGUUACUUGUUUGGUUUCAUUUGUUCAUCAAGUUUUUUGCUCUAUAACAGAUUGUCCAAAACAAGAUGGUAACAACAGCUAGAGUGUGUCUAAUGAUAUAACAUUUAAGUAAAAAACAACAAACUUAAAUAGAAUACUUGGAAUGCACUGGUGGAUAUGCUCACGGCAGGAAAAAUGUGAAUUACGUGGGAAUUUUCCUAGGGAUUGGUAUGAAAAUCCGCAGGAACCUUAUUUUCCUGCAAAUUUUCAUAUUAAUCUCCAGGAAAAUUCCCAUGUAAUAUAUUUUGAGGGAAAAGGAGAACUUGAUUUUGCUGAUUAUGAUUUAGCUUUCUGUAUCUGAUAACAUUUUGCCUCCACAUAUCAUUCUGUUCAUAUGGUAAUCUUAAUUCCAAUCAAGUAUCUGUCAACUUCUAAAUUUCUUGUGUUUUCUAUGUGAACUUGCAGAAAAAAAAUGUAAAAUUUGCGGUGACACAGGUUUUGACAAAGAAAUUACUACAUGUUAUCAGUGUGACAAUGUUGACGUACAUCCGUAAGUUCUCUCUCUCUUUUCGUAGCAUGAAAAGGUGGACAAUCAGUUAGAAAAUCCAAAAGUCAUGUCUCUCUUUCAAGCUUCAUCACCUUGUGUCAUAUCUAUAUGUUCUUUGUAAAUCUCAAACAUUGGCCCAAUCCCAAACCCCUUUUUUUAGUUUACUUGACAUUUCUAAGAGAGAUGUUGAUCUUUUACACAAAGGGUUGCUCCUGUUGAAGGAAAUUGCUAGUUAGAUUAUCAGUUUUGCUUUCCUUUUUGAUUUUUUUUUCAUGUUGUGGCAUUUAAUUCUCAUAAAUACUGCCUAUAUCUUUUAUGCAUACAUAGUCCUCUUCUUGUUUUAAAUAUUAUGUGUUUUUCUCUUCCUUUAAGAUAUUGCAUGCUGGGCUGUUGUGUUGAUGCACCAGUGGAUUGGUGUUGUGAAGAAUGUGAUAUUAGGAAAGGGAUAAUGUCUUCAUCAAAUGGACUAGGAAAUAUGCAUUAUGAGGGAUCCAAGUUACAUGCAUUUGAAAAGAUUUGUCAGAGUACUGUGCAACCAAAGAAACAUAGUAAAUUUCCUCGUGCACAUCGUAUUAACGGGGAAAAGGAGGUACAGACCGGGAAAAUGAGAUAUCUAUCAGUUGAAGAAGCACUUGGUCUUUCAUCAAGCAUCAAGAAAUAUGGAUCUACGCUGAUAAAUACGAUCUCCUCAAGAGUUGUGUCAACCAAAUCCAUAGCAACCAUGACUCGAGGGAUUUUUGGCAAGCCUACAGCUCAAAUUUCAAACUCUUUUCGUGAGAAAAGCAAAGUGCAGCUGCCUUUAGCAUCAACAGGAUAUACUAAACCUCAAAAUCUUUGAAUUGCCAAAAAUACUGAACAUAGCAAAAAAAAUGUUCAAUUAUCUAAGGUUAAGUGUUCACCACAAUAUUUUGUAUUAAUUACUUGAUUUGAUUUGUCCUCUUCUUAUACCUUUAUACUUCAGAAAUUUCAUUUUCUAGCAUAUACUCUAAAUAAAAAAAAUUCUUUUAAUGAUGUUGAUAUAUCUAGAGUUGUUAUUAUCUUUCAAAAUAAUUUCCGUUACACCAUCAACAUCUAUAAAGCUCUCAUAGAAAAAUUUCUUUACUUAUGUACUUCCAUCAAAUUGAUAUAGCCUAUUUUUUUAGGUCCGGGUGGUUCUACCAGUCUUGAGCAUACGAGUCCUGAUGAUUUGAAUAAGAGUCGAAUAAUGAAUUCAUCUAUGACACACCCUUGUGAUCCUUCUCUAGUUCCUUCCCGAAAGUAAGUACCCUUCAUUGUGUACAGUUAGUACUAAUUCAAAUUUAGCUCAUGUCUGUUUUUGGAUGGCCCAUCUUUGCUAGUAAUCAGCUGACUGAUUAACUACUCUUUGUAAUUUCCUUAUUGAUAAAUACGAAAACAUAUAUAAUACACUUUUUCAACAACAUAAUGUUCGUCCAUGAUGAGAUGGCAUAGUGGUUAAGGCUUAGGACUAACAACUUGGACAUUCUAGGUUUGAAUCCCAGCUACAACACAUUGUGCGCCCAUCUGAUUUAGACUUACUGGGAACCAUUAGCGUGUCAAUAUGUGUUUGUGGGAUGGACUAGUUGCCCAAUGAAUUAGUUGGGGUACAUGCAAGUUGGUUGGGACGCCAUUAGUAUCGCUAAAAUAAUGAGUAGGGCACUGAAGAAUAUAUGAUAUAAUGAUAAUCUGAAUGUGUACUGCUUAGUCAGAUGAUAAUUGAUCUAAUCUCUCUUCUUCUUUGCAUUUCAGGGGAAGUUCUGACAUCUUAGGUGCUUUGGAAUUUGUACCUAGGAUGCUCAAUAGUUGUAUCCUGGCUCAUCCUCCUUCUAGAGUUAGAUGUAAGGUGUAUGAGUUCUCAGGUCAUUUGCCUGAUACUCUUAAAUUUGAACUUGUUCCCCGUGGGGAUACUUGGGAAAGUCUAUUUAACAAUCAUAUUCCGAGUAAAGAAGAUAUAGGACUGUAUUUUUUAGCAAGUGAGAAAGAAAGGUCAGCUUCUACCUUAUAUAUCUAUCCGUAAAUGGGCAAUGGGUUGCGAAGUAGAAGUCCCCCUUGCCCAGGAAGGUUUUUACUAGAAACUGAUUCUCAUUUCCCAUUAUAUGUAGGUCUGAGAGAUAUAUUGCUCUAGUGGAGUUCAUGCGUAGCAAGGAUUUGGUGAUGAGAACGCUUAUUAAUGAUGUUGAGCUCCUUAUACUUACAUCCACAACCAUGUGCACUGAUUCUCAAAGUACGUCUAUAAUUUCUAUAUUUUUUCCUCAUUUUCAAUGAAUUUUUAGGUAAUAAUACAUUUACUUGUGUAUGCAGAAGAUUAUGACUUUUUAAAGUGAGGAUACUUGUUUGGUUUCAUUUGUUCAUCAAGGUUUUUGCUCUAUAACAGAUUGUCCAAAAGAAGAUGUUAACAACAACUAGGGUGUGUCUAAUGGGAUAACAUUUAAGUAAAAAAUAACAAACUUAAAUAGAAUACUUGGAAUGAACUGGUGGAUAUGCUUCUGCUAGAUAUUAUGAGAGAAAAAGAGAACUUGAUUUUACUGAUUAUGAUUUAGCUUUCUGUAUCUGAUAACAUUUUGUCUCCACAUAUCAUUAUGUUCAUAUGGUAAUCUUAAUUCCAAUCAAGUGUUUGUCAACUUCUAAAUUUCUUGUGAUUUCUAUGUGAACUUGCAGAAAAAAUGUGAAAUUUGCGGUGACACAAGUUUUGAAAAAGCAAUUACGUGCAUCAGUAAGUUUUCUCUCUCUCUCUCUUUCUCUUUUUGUAGCAUGAAAAGGUGGAAAAUUAGUUAGAAAAUCUGAAAGUCAUGUCUCUCUUUCAAGCUUCAUCACUUUGUGUCAUAUCUAUAUGUUCUUUGUAAAUCUCAAACAUUGGCCCAAUCCCAAACCCUUUUUUUUUUAAGUUUACUUGACAUUUCUAAGAGAGAUGUUGAUCUUUUUACAGAAGGGGUUGCUUCUCUCGAAGGAAAUUGCUAGUUAGAUUAUCAGUUUUGCUUUCCUUUUUGAUUUUUUUUUCAUGUUGUGGCAUUUAAUUCUCAUAAAUACUGCCUAUAUCUUUUAUGCAUACAUAGUCCUCUUCUUGUUUUAAAUAUUCUGUUUUUUUUCUCUUCCUUUAAGAUAUUACAUGUUGGGUUGUUGUGUUGAUGCACCAGUGGAUUGGUGUUGUGAAGAAUCUGAUAUUAGCAAAGGGAUAAUGUCUACAUCAAGUGGACUAGAAAAUGUGCAUUAUGAGGGAUCCAAGUUACAUGCAUUUGAAAAGAUUUGUCAGAGUACUGUGCAGCCAAAGAAACAUAGUAAGUUUCCUCGUGCAUAUCGUAUUAAUGGGGAAAAGAAGGUACAUACCGGGAAAAUGAGAUAUCUACCUGUUGAAGAAGCACUUGGUCUUUCAUCAAGCAUCAAGAAAUAUGGAUCUACGCUGAUAAAUACGGUAUCCUCAAGAGUUGUGUCAACCAAAUCCAUAGCAACCAUGACUCGAGGGAUUUUUGGCAAGCCUAGAGCUCAAAUUUCAAACUCUUUUUGUGAGAAGAGCAAAGUGCAGCUUCCUUUAGCAUCAACAGGAUAUACUAAACCUCAAAAUCUUCGAAUUGCCAAAAACAUUGAACAUAGCAAAAAAAUGUUCAAUUAUCUAAAGGUUAAGUGUUCACCACAAUAUUUUGUAUUAAUUACUUGAUUUGAUUUGUCCUCUUCUUAUACUUUUAUUCUUCAGAAAUUUCAUUUUCUAGCAUAUACUCUGAAUAGUUUUUAAAAAAAAUGAUGUUGACAUAUCUAGAGUUGUUAUUAUCUUUCAAAAUAAUUUCCGUUACACCAUCAACAUCUAUAAAGCUUUCAUAGAAAAAAUUCUUUACUUCUGUACUUCCAUCAAAUUGAUGUAGUCUAUUUUUUAGGUUUGGGUGGUUCUACCAGUCUUGAGCAUACGAUCCUGAUGAUUUGAAUAAGAGUCGAAUAAUGAAUUCAUCUACGACUUACCCUUGUGAUCCUUCUCUAGUUCCUUCCCGGAAGUAAGUACCCUUAAUCGUGUACAAUUAUUACUAAUUCAAAUUUAGCUCAUGUCUGUUUCUGGAUGGCCCAUCUUUGCUAGUAGUCAGCUGACUGAUUAACUACUCUUUGUAAUUUCCUUAUUGAUAAAUAUGAAAACAUAUAUAAUACAUUUUUUCAACAACAUAAUGUUGGUCCAUAAGGAUAUGGCCUAGUGGUUAAGGCAUAAGACUAACAACUUGGACAUUCUAGUUUUGAAUCCCAGCUACAACACAUUGUGCGCCCAUCUGAUCUAGCUUUAUUGUGUCAAUAUGUACUUGUGAGAUGGACAAGUUGCCCAAUGAAUUAGUUGGGGUACAUGCAAUUUGAUUGGAACGCCAUUAGUAUUGCUAAAAUAAUGAGUAGGGCACUGAAGAAUAUAUGGCAUAAUGAUAAUCUGAAUGUGUACCGCUUAGUUAGAUGAUAAAUGAUCUAAUCUCUCUUUCUUUUUUUACAUUUCAGGGGAAGUUUUGACAUCUUAGGUGCUUUGGAAAUUUUACCUGGGAUGCUCAAUAGUUGUAUCCAGGCUCAUCCUUCUUCUAGAGUUAGACGUAAGGUGUAUGAGUUCUCAGGUCUUGUGCCUGAUACUCUUAAAUUUGAACUUGUUCCCCGUGGGGAUAUUUGGGAAAGUAUAUUUAACAACCAUAUUCCGAGUAAAGAAGAUAUAGGACUGUAUUUUUUUGCAAGUGAGAAAAAAAGGUCAGCUUCUGCCUUAUAUAUCUAUCCGUAAAGGGGCAAGGGAUUGCAAAGUAGAAGUCCCCCCUUGCAAAGGAACGUUUUUACUAGAAAUUGAUUCUCAUUUCCCAUUAUAUGUAGGUCUGAGAGAUAUAUUGCUCUAGUGAAGUUCAUGCGUAGCAAAGAAUUGGUGAUGAGAAUGAUUAUAAAUGACGUUGAGCUCUUUAUACUUGCAUCCACAGCCCUGUGCAGUGAUUUUCAAAGUACGUCUAUAAUUUCUAUGUUUUUCUCAUUUUCAAUGAUUUUUUAGGUUGUACAUUUACCUGUGUAUGCAGAUUAUUAUGCCUUUGGAAAGUGGGGAUACUUGUUUGGUUUCAUUUGUGCACAUUUUCAAUGAUUUUUUAGGUUGUACAUUUACCUGUGUAUGCAGAUUAUUAUGCCUUUUGAAAGUGGGGAUACUAGUUUGGUUUCAUUUGUGCAUCAAGGUUUUUGCUCUAUAACGGAUUAUCCAAAAGAAGAUGUUAACGGCAGCUAGAGUGUGUCUAAUGGUAUAACAUUUAAGUAAAAUAACAAACUUAAAUAGAAUAUUUGGAAUGCGCUGGUGGAUAUGUUUCUGUUAUAUAUUAUGAAAGAAGACGAGAACUUGAUUUUGCUGGUUAUAAUUUAGCUUUCCGUAUUUGAUGACAUUUUGUCUCCACAUAUCAUUUUGUUCAUAUGGUAAUCUUAAUUCCAAUUAAGGGUCUGUCAACUUCUAAAUUUCUUAUGUUUUCUAUGUGUACUUGCAGAAAAAAAUUGUGAAAUUUGCGGUGAUACAGGUUUUGAAAAAGCAAUUCUACAUGUUAUCAGUGUAACAAUGUUGACGUGCAUCGGUAAUUAUCUCUCCCUCCUUCUUUUUCUCUCUCUGUCUUUUCUUAGCAUGAAAAGGUAGACAAUCAGUUAGAAAAUCUGAAAGCCAUGACUCUCUAUCAAGCUUCAUCACCUUGUGUCAAAUCUAUAUGUUCUUUGUAAACCUCAAACAUUGGCCCAAUCCCAAACCCUCUUUUAUUUAGUUUACUUGCCAUUUCUAAGAGAGAAGUUGAUCCUUUUACACAAGGGGUUGUUCCACUUGAAGGAAAUUGCUAGUUAGAUUAUCAGUUUUGCUUUCUUUUUUGAAUUUUUUUUUGCAUGUUGUGGGAUUUAAUUCUCAUAAAUACUGCUUGUAUCUUUUAUGCAUACAUAAUCCUCUUCUUGUUUUAAAAAAAUUCUGCUUUUUUCUCUUCUUUUCAGAUAUUGCAUGCUGGGAUAUUAUGUUGAUGCACCAAUGGAUUGGUGUUGUGAAGAAUGUGAUAUUGACAAAGGGAUAAUGUCUUCAUCAAGUGGACUAGAAAAUGUGCAUUAUGAGGGAUCCAAGUUACAUCCUUGUGAAAAGAUUUGUCAGAGUACUGUGCAACCAAAGAAACAUAGUAAGUUUCCUGAUGGACAUCGUAUUAACUGGGAAAAGGUGGUACAGACCUGGAAAAUGAGAUAUCUACCUGUUGAAGAAGCACUUGGUCUGUCAUUAAGCAUCAAGAAAUAUGGAUCUCCGCUGAUAAAUACGGUCUCCUCAAAAGUUGUGUCAACCAAAUCCAUGGCAACCGUGACUCGAGGGAUUUUUACCAAGCCUAGAGCUCAAAAUUCUUCCUGAUGAAUGCCUUUUUGAGAUUUUCAAACGUCUUUCCAGUGGUCAAAAGAGAAGUGCUAGUGCUUGUGUUCCCAAGUGAUGGCUUACACUUUUAAGCAACAUUCGCAAGGAUGAGAUUGCAAAAUUUAAUGGAUAUCUUAACAUGUCCUUUGUUGGUAGGAAAGCCAUAGAUGUAACACUUGCUGCUAUUGCUGUUGGAACUGCAAACUGUGGAGGUUUAGCAAAGUUAUCCAUUCAGGGAAAUAACCUUUAUCGUGGUGUGACUGAUGUUGGUCUCAAGGCUAUCGCUCAAGGUUGCCCUACUCUCAAAGAACUUUCCUUAUCGAAUGUGUCAUUUGUUGGUGAUGAAGGCUUGUCUGAGAUUGCUCAUGGUUGUCAUCUAUUAGAGAAGCUUGAUCUUUUCCAAUGCCCAAGAAUUACUAAUAAGUCCUUGUUAGGUAUAGCAAAGAAUUGUCUCAAUCUCAACUCUGUCAACGAAUGAUUGUUCAUAUAUUGAGAAUGAGUCUCUCAAAAUUAUGGGUCAAUAUUGCCUGAACCUUAAGCUUGUUGGAUUAAAAAUGUCCUUGAGUAGGCAAUGCUACCAUUGAUGUAAUACAUAGACUAUGUCACAAAUUAAUUCAUCUAGAGCUGAAUGGGCUUCUUCGUAUAACGUCAGUGUUAAGCUUGUGAUGAUUUGUUCAUGUCCGAGUCUUAUGUAUUUGUCUUUUUAUAAUAGUAAUAUCCAGUGAAUUUAAUUUCAAAAUUUCUAAUUAUAAUAUCUAGCAAUGUCUAAUCUUUGCGACUAAAAAAUCAUUUUUAUUUACUAGAUAAAGAAGAAAACUUAAUUGGUUAUUAUAAAUCUCUUAAUACAAGUAAUAGUACUAUCUAAGAAUGAUAACUUUUUAGCUUGCCUUGUAUGUGACAGUGAAAGUCGGAUCAAAGCACCACAAGUGCUAUGAAGAGAGGUGAUUUACAAUAAAUUAGACCAUCAACGUAAAUUUUGUCAAUUCAUGGUAAAGUUUAUCAAUACAUUUAGCUUAAUUAAAAUAAUGAAAAUUUGUAUAGGUGAUUUCAACUUAUACAAGGAUUGGGUUUUAUUUAGAGUGAGUUAAGUUCUGAACAAAUUUAUUUAUUUAUUUUUUACAGCUAUCAUAUCAUUAAAUUGGUAUCGAAAAAUUAUAUUUUCAAUUAAAAAGGAAUGCGAGGAUAACUAAUUAAUCAACUAUAUAAAUCAUUUGGAUUGGUUGCGCUCUAUUUAGGUCUAUAUAUUAAAUUAAAGAUUCACCUUAAAUUGUUCAUUUUUUAUAGGAUAAAUUUCUUAAAUGAUCACUAGCUUAAUUGAAUAGUAAAAUCACUUAUUUAUUGUCAUAUCAAUAAUAUCACACCAAUAGGAAAACAAUUUCAACACUAAUCUCAACUUAUUCAAUUCCAAAUCAUCUAUUAGUAUUUUUAAGAAACUUAUUUUCCAUAGAAUAUUUUUCUCCGUACCAAAAACAUUUCUCUAAUAUUAUGACUGUUCUUAUAGGCUACUAAAAUAUUUCCAACAAAAAGCAAUUUGCUAUUAGCUAUUCAAUUUGGUCCAAUCAUUUUAAUAUGUCAAUCAAUCUAUUUGGAAAACCUACCAAUUCUAUAGGAGGAAAAAGCCAUAAUUGUGGUUCCUAUUGAAAGGAAUAAUUGUCUUUUUAUUAAGAACGGUGUUCGAUUCAACUUGUGCACACCUAGAUAGCCUGUGGGAACUUGCUACAUCCUACGAGCACAGUCGAGUUGAAAGAAAUCACCUAGGGUGGUGGCUAGCUCUGACAUCAUAGUUUCAACCCAAGGAGAACCACACCCCAAAAAAACACUAUUGAGGUGGGAGAGACCGACCCCGAGGCUAUAUAAACCCCACAUCAACACUUUGCAGUAUCAAUAUGGGACUUGCAAUGGACCAUAACACAAAAGUUCAUACUAGAAAACAGCUCCAAUAAAGUACAUGGUCUUUUUACUUUUUAUAACAGAGAAAUCGCAAAGGUCCAGAGGGGCACGAUUCGAAACUCAGAGGAUAAGGUGACUACACUACACUGACUCGAGGGAGGAAAAGAUUCAUAAUACCUGAACAAAGCUAGAGCAUCAUGUAAUGUAUAUGUAAUUUAUAAAUACACCUUAAUAAACAAGCAACAACCAUUUGGUUCAACAGAACAGUUUCAGCAGCCAGUAUUGUCCCCAGUUUUCUGCAACUGCAAAGUACUCAACUAGUAGAAAAGACAAAAAUUCUUAAGGAUUUCUGGCUACUCAACAUUUAGAUAACAGAGGCAAGCAGUCUGCAUAUUUCUGAUGACCACACUCAGCAAUCUUGAAAGAAGAUAGACCACUACAAAUUCAACCGUGCUGCGCUGACUAUAGACAAAAUGGUGAUGUUUGACCAGUACAAUAUCAAGUGCAUUCAUUUCUCAUCUUAUUCAUACCUUUGCAAUACUUCAGGCAAAGAGCGAAUGAAGAUUGCUCCAUGAGUAUAUAUUCGACUUCAGUGGUUGCUUCUAAUGCUCGAUUGUGACGUGUUCCUGCACCAGAUUAGUCUCUAUUCGAGCUUUAACACCAGUCUCAGUCUGGCUCGGUUCAACAACUGAUACAAUCUCACACUCUUGACCAUCUGCGUCAAAUUCAGUAGCUUGCUUGUGUUGGUUAUUUGAUUGAGAAGAAACUUCACUUGUUUCCUUGGGUAAAGCAUUCAGCAGAGAUGCAGCUUCAGUUGAUUCCUUGGAUGAGCUAGACUUGCGAAUGGAAAGCUUUCUUGUUUCAUUGGAUAAGUUGGUUUUCUCAGAUGGCAGCUUAGGAAGUGACUUCCUUUGAGGCUUCUUAACAAUGAGAGGAGAAUGCCCUUUGACAGGGUUACUUUGGGAUGCAUUUUCGUCCAAGCUUAACCUACCUGGGCGCAUGACACUCUCAUUGAUUCUUUCUUUGGUGGGCGAGCUCUUUCUCCUCCCAAGUUUGGGGGAUUUAGCUCUGGUUGGUGGAAUCUAGCAUCAUAAGAUAGUGACAGAAGGUGUUAAUUAAACACCGGGAUAACUUGUAAAUUUCAAAAUAAACAGGAAGAAUAAACUACUUUAGGAGGGGCUUCAGCUGUACAUAAACAAAACUAGCAAGUAAGAAAGCAAAUAUUAGAAAAUUUCUUUAGAUAAAACGCACAAGAGCAUGACAUACCAGCAUCCUAGCAUGACCAGCAAAGGUAAGGCAUCAAAUUCAGGUUAAGAUAGAUAUAUUUUACAAAUGUAUAGGGCAGCCUGGCACACUAAGCUCCCGUUAUGUGGGGGUCCAGACCUACACAGCCUUAUCCUGCAUUUCUACAAGAGGUUGUUUCCACAGCUCGAACCCGUGACCUCUUGAUCAUGUGGCAGAAACUUUACUAGUUACGCCAAGACUCCCCUUCAUUUUAGAUAUGUAUAGAUACAAAAUAUACAUGCACAUGAUAAAUAGGGGCAGAUGUAGACAUAUAUACCAGAAUUUCCCUUCAGAACAGAUAAUUUUUGCUCAACACUUUGGAGAGAUUGACACAAGAUAGAAGUAUUUCCGCAUACUAUCUAGUUUCCCAACUCCAUUUCUUUGCCAACUGAAUAGUGAAGUGCCUGAAGGGAGCUCCUAAAUCAUCUCAUACCACCUACUUAUAAAAGCUAGCUUUGACCAUAACUUGCCUGCUUGACCCAUUAACAUUUCCUGAUCUUAAGUAGAGUAGAUGGAGGAACUAUAAUUUAUGAUUGUUAUGGUGAUUAAGGACGGCAUGUAGUGUUUAUAGCACAAAAGAGAGUGCUUUCAAGAAAUAAUAAAUAAUGAUCCAAAGCUAAGAGAAAUUUUACCUAGUCUUAGAUUUACUGAAUCAGGAAUAUAUCUAGCCUAUGAUGAACUGUCAAGAACCACAUGUGUACUCUUCACAUUUCUAUCAUGCUUAACCACUUUGCAUCUCACUGAGUUUGCUUACAAUAAGAGUCACUAAUCCAGUAUUAAGAUAGCACCUUAUGAGGCUCUGUACAGGAUGCAUUGUAAAUCUCUCACUGCUGGUUUGGGCCAAGGGAGAGGAGGCUCUUGGGACCAAAUUGAGUACAUGAAUCCUUGAAAAAGGUUCAGUUCAUUAGGAAAGGACUAAAAACAGAUCAAAUGGGUAAAAGUCGUACACUGACAAAAGAAUUAGAGAGUUUGAUAUCAUGCUUGGUACAACGAGUGUUUGUGAAGGUAUCAUCCAUGAAGGGUAUCACGAUGUAAGAAAAGAAAGGAGAGAUAUGCCCGAGAUUCAUGGAUCCUAAGCAUCAUUGAGUGUGUGUGUAGGUGCAAUCGUGUACCUGUAGACACUACCGCUAGAAUUUACAACUUUACACCCAGUCUUUCAUGCAUCGCCUAUUAAGUGUAUACAUGAUCCCAUGCACAUCAUAUUAGCUGCCUUUGGCCCAGCUAAGUCAGCAAAGUAGCACUUAAAAUAUGAACAUCGUCCCUCUUACAAAACCAGACCUUAGUAGCCUUUGUCCCAACUGUCUGCAAACUAGCACUUAAAACAACGGUCCCAUCUGUGUCAGCAAAAGGUCAGCCCUUCAGUGCUAAAGAUCUAUCAGGUCCAACCAUCCAACAAUUUCACUAACAAAUAAGAGCCAUAACAAUUUCACAAUGUUGAGAUGGCACACUAACGAGAGAGGAUUGAUUCCAAGACUAACUUUUCCACAAUUUAACUUGCAUAUAGUGUCCCUUUUAAAGUGAACAGGUAAUGAAGUUGACCUUGUCUGAUACUUAUCCAGGAAAAAAGUAAAAGGUUGACCUGAUUUCCAGUAUCAUGUAUUUCUACACCGGACUCAUAUCCUUUUCUAUUGCUACUUAAGCACCAAAAUCACAUCUUACACACCUAUUCUAUCAAUUCAGGUACUGUAUCAUCAGAUUUUAUUCUUGUUGAUUUUUUCCUCAAAGAUCAGCCACAUCAAUUAUGCAUCAAAAAGUAGAGCUUCACAUAUAAUACUGGAACUUCACCAAGAGACAAGUUUAUUAUGCACUUCUUUUUCCCGAUCAUGCUAAGCACUUAAAAUAUCACAAGAAAUGAUGAUGAAAUUCCACUAGCUAACAAUAAAGUCAAUCUUCACAUAAAUGUAUCAAUUGCAAUGCUCCAUUUGUGGUAAAAAAAUUCAAGAAAAUGAACACCCAACUCUACAAAGCUAUAUCCAGUUUAACUAUUGAUCUAUGACUUUUUUAGGAGCUCAGUAGUACUGCAAUUUCACAUAAAUAUAUCAAGGGCGAUCGCCAAUAGUGGUUUAAAGUCAAGACACUGAACCUCCCAACUCUACCAAGCUAUAUCCAGUUUAACAAUUGUUAGCUAAGGGUAUCUUUUCAGAGCUCAGUAGUACUGCAAUUCCUUUCUUCAUAGUUCAUCAUAUUUAGACAGAACAUGCAGUUUCAGUGUCAAGUUGAAAGCAUUCAAAAGAUCAGCAAAAGGAUGAACUUGAACCUAACUCGUUUACUAUAUUUUACUAGAGCUUCAAAAAACAAAAACAAAAAAUAAACAGUGCUCCACAUUACAUUACCUGACACCAAAUAUAUUUUUAAAAAAUCAGGAUAAAGCAAAUGAUAUUUAUCAAUUCUGGUAACAAAAUCAUUUUGAGCCAAAGAACCACUAAAUAUUCAAUAUACUAUGUCUAAGAACAGCAAAAGGCAUUUCAUACCAUACAAGAUUGUAUUUCUCGGCAUUAUAACAUACAACACAGCAAAAAAUUACCUUCUUCAACUCCAUCUUUGGAGGUGCAGGUUCCUGAUAAAAGCUUGGCAUGGGUGUUGCUUUAAAUUUUAAGCUCUUCCUUAACAUUUUGAUCUCAGCUUCCUGUGUUUCCUGUUAGAGAAAUGAAAGAAAAUAAAAUGGGAAUGCUACAAGAUAACCCUACAACAAGAAAUUUUCUACACCAAGAGAUCCAGAAGCAGAAGUGUCACAACACCUUAGUCUUGGCUUGCAUAUUACUUUUCUCAACUUCCUUUGCCUGGGUUUUUUCUUCAAGCUUGGAGUAAAACUGUCCAAAUAACAAGACAAAUGUUCUUAGAUUGACUUCACGGUGCAAGACUAUCAAGCAUAUAUUAUAAGCUUCAGUGAUGCAAGCAGAGGGCUAACCUCUUUCCUUUUCUCAGCUCUUUCAUCACACUUGAAACUGAUAUUGUAGGUUGGAAGAGUACCUACUUUGCGAGUUUUGGCAUCUGAUGCAGCAGUAGGACUGCUAGGAAGUGAUUUAAGGAUAAACUGAAAGACUUUUAUUAUGCUAAUAAAAAUAAGAAUUCCAAAUCUAAGGAGUGAAGGGAAAAAAAAAGAUUUGACACAUUUAGGAUACGAAGAUGAUUCUGCACUUCCAUCAGCUUUAUUAGGGAGCACUUUCUUCAAAGGCAUCAGUUUUGUUUUUCCCUGCAGUAACGAAAUUAUAGUUCACAAACCACUGGGGAAAAGUUAUCAUUGAUUGUUUGGCACGUUUUGAAAGCAUUCUCAGUACAAUUAUCAUAGGACUCCUCCAAGUAAUAGGUAAGAAACUACAAGAGAAAUCGGACAUACUUAAGGCCUUCAGACUGAGCAGCACUCGGAGAAGCUGAUGCUGCUACUUCAGCAUGACCAGGUUGCUGCUAGAAGACAGCAGAAAAGGAAUAUGAUAUUGAUGACAAUAAACAGAUGCAUAUGAAGCUGCAAUAUUGAAAUUCAGAUUGCUGUUACUCUGGACUGCAGGUCAUAAAUUAGACCCAAGACAUUUACCUUAGCACGAUCAACAUUUAGAUGAGCCAAUGCAGGUUUUGAAUAAUACUCAACAGUUUUCUUGUCACUGAAUGAUUUACCCUUUGCAUCAAGGGAAGAUGGCUGCUUAGGACGCGGUUUGGAGGCAAGGGUACCAUUUGAUGCCUCUUUUCCAUCUUUGCUUUUCUUGGCUACGCCAUUUUUGGGGCCUGAAUUCUUAGCAUUCCUUGCCCUAGGUGGAGUCUUUUGCUCUUUACUGUUCGUUGCAUCAUCAGAUUCUUUUGCUUCAUGUUCCUGCAAGUAAAUAAGCAAUUACCUAAAUGUGGUGUUCAAAAUGUCCUUAGAAAGUAAAAACUGGAUAAACUCCCUUACCUCGGAACUGACACCAGCAUUGCUUUCUACAGUAAUUGUAGUUUCAUUACUGACCUCUUGGACAGAAGAUCCAACUGUUUCACUAUCAGUCAAUACGACAGUGCUCUGGAAACUCCUCUCUAGUUCUUCAUUACUGGGACUUGCAUGAGGCAUCCCAUUGGAUAUGCCAGCAACAACUUCUGGAAGUUGGUGGACUCCAUUUCCAAAGCCCAACCCAUUUCCAGAAACAGCUAUGUUAUUGACAACAUCCAUCAUGCUCUAUAAUGUUUCAAAAUUUGCAACCACAAUUCUACAUGUCAACCACACAAACAGAAAAUGCCUCAUGAGUCAUGAUUAAAACAGGUGUUUUUAAAGUAUAAUCAAACCCCAAUAGUAGGGUCUAAAGAAAUGCAAUCUCAUACUAAAAAACAACCAAUCCAGCAGAAAACAAAUUGUAUAUAGAGGAUUACCAAAGCAAUGCUACAACCACAAAAAGCUCAACUUUCAAAAAAUUCAUACUUUAGAACACUACAGACUCUCAUCUAAUACUUCAAUCACUUUGUUCUUCAAACAAACUAACAACACACAAAUCAAAACUCGGGCUUUGCAUCAAGUCAAUACCAUUUCUACUGAGCUGAGAAACAAGGUUAAAUCACCCUAAAAAUCAAACAUUUCCAUCAAUUACAAUCCAAUUCCAAUUAUGAUGUGGAUCUUGGGUAUCCAUUCCACUCUAUUCAAGUUCAUCUAUGCAAAGUCUCAGCAAAUGACCACAAACAAAGAACUCAAAAACCCAAAUCCAAAUACAGUACCAGAAGACGACAAAAUCAGUAGACCGACACUUACUCUACUUAGAUCUCCAACCGCAAUAAAAAGAUCCAAUCUUUUUCUCAAUCCAAGAUUCACCACAGCAAAUCCAAAACCCCAAAACAGCAAAACCCAUUUUCACAAAGCUAAAUACCCACAAGAUAUACAUAAUGUACCAAUAUUUUAUAAACACAAACCACAACAAAUGCAGUUGCUAGCUACUAAAUGCAAUUUACUUACCUAAACAACCAUAAAAAGAUCACAAGCCCAUGAAAUCCACAAGGGAUCUGAAAGAAUCUUGACACAGAAAGCCAAACACUUGCAAAACAAACAAGAAUCUUGAAAUCUUAGAAACAAUUUAUGAAAAUGCUUUAAAGAUGGUGUUUUCUUGAACUUGAAAGUGAAAAGUUGAGAACUUUGAAGAUGGGGUUUCUCUAUUUCACAAAAUUCUCAACUCAAAAAUAGAGAAGGGGGGGACAGUUUUGCUCAUGUGUGUGUGUUGGGGAUGGUUUUUUUUUUUUUUCCAAUUUAUUUUAGUAGUUGUAUGUGACAGAAGUAUUCAAAUCUAUACCAGGUCACUGUCUCAAAAGAAAAAAAAUCACCUUAAAUUUAAGGAUAGGGAGGAACAGACAUGUACCAGCCCCAUGAUCAUGCUUACCUGGUAAUAUCAGUGGCUCACAAUUGAAGAUUAUUCCUUUUUUUUAUAUAUUGGAUUUAAUUAAUUAAUUGAUUUUACCUUUUUUGUGGAAUUUAUAUUCCGUUCAUUUUAUUAUCCAAAAAAGACAGCUUUGGUUGAGACCAAAGUCACAAUUUUAACGAGGACAGCGGUAACCCCAAGUCGCACAAAUUUGAAAAAUUGAAGAAGCAAAUAGUUUUUUUUAUUUGAAAUUAUUUUGAAGUUGAAUUUCAAGUUUGAAAAGGUGCUUUAGACUUACUUUUCAAGUGAGUUUUUCUCAUGAAAAUUUUUAUUUUAUUUUAAGUUAAAUGUGUAUUUAACCAUAACUUAAUUUUUAAAUAGUAUUUUUCAUUUAAAUAAAUAUCAUAUUUUUCAUGUUCAAACUUCAAAAACCUAUUCAUGAUUUUCUCCUGUCACAAUUUUCAUGCUAAAUCGAUCCAAAAUAAUUCGUCAUAACCUUCAUUAAUAGAUGAGUUUGAACUCUUCUAUGUAAUAUUUAUUUUGUUGAGAUGACUCUUCGUUUAUGAUUGGAGAGAAAUCAGAAAUAAAAAAAAAAACUACAAAUAAAGGUUUUUCCACUGCGAAUCAAUGAGAAAUUUGUGUUAUAGAACCUGAUUUUUCCACGCAUUUUUUAUUAAAGCAUUUCACUGAGAAAAUGAAUGGUGAAAAACAGAUUCUCAUUGAAAUAGUGAACAGUUCUGUAAUUUUUCCAUAUGAAAAAUUACUAUUUUUUCUAUUCUCACUAAAAAAAUAAAUAUAUUUUUAGCACAAAUUUUGCAAUGAUUCUACAAAUGUUCAUCAAGUGCUAAUACUUAAAUUGCUGAUAGAUUAAUACUCUUGUUUUUGCUCAUAGACUUAUGUAUUGAUUAUUUCUGUGAGAACAAGUCCGAAAAAGUCUAUAGACUAGCAUGUACAUAAUUUACACUUUUUUGGUUGAAUAAAGACUUUUUUCAUUUAGCUAAGAAAAAAAAAACUUUCAUAUCCUAAAAUUACUUAUGUUUCAAAAAUCUUUUCCUAUUUUAUCCAUAUACUUUGUGUAUGAAGGUAUACCGGUUAACAUAAAAAGCUAUACAUAUAUAUAGUUGAUUUUGAAUAUGUUAUUAGUUCAAAAAUGUUUAUUUAUAUAGCUUAAAAAAUCCUACUAAUUAAUAUUUUACCCAUCAAAAACAGUAAUUUUUCAAUUUAAUCACAAAGUCAAAAUGAACGGGACAUAAGGAAAACAACAGCAUCAUAAUUUUGCACGGGAAAUCAAUUUCAAAAUAAUAUUUCUAAGAAAAGAAAGAUGCAAACAUCAAAGUCAACAAUUUUUUGACAAAAUUGAGUUAAUAUUCUUCACUCAAAUCCUAUAAAUAUGGCAAAAUUAGAAUAAAAGAUAUUCUUGAUAGGUAUUAUAAAGUUGUUUUACUUUUCUGAAUGAGUAAAUUUUAGGUUUAGCAAAUAUAAAAUUCAUAUUUGUAUGUUAUAGCUAUAGUUUGUAUACUUGCGGUCCAUAGCAAACUUUAUGUUUGCUAUGACUAUUAAUCUGUAUAUUUCGGUAUACAUAUACAUACAAAAUAUGUAUUUGGGUCUAUUUGUAUAUUUCGGUAUACAAAUGAGUCAUGCAUUUGUAUAUUUUGGUAUACAAAUGAGUCUUGCAUUUGUAUAUUUCGAUAUACAAAUGGGUCCUGCAUUUAUAUAUUUCGGUCUAUUUGUAUAUUUUGGUAUACAAAUGGGAUGGCAAAAAACAUGGAAUGUUUACUGCGAAUUACAAAUAAAAGAAACUAUGGCUAUAACAUUUAAUUUGAAUUAAUGGUUUAUUAUUUCAUACAAUUUUCCCUUUUUGAAAUGUGCAUUUUUAAUAGAUGAGUUUCCUAUAUAUAUAGAGAGAGAGAGUUUUUCUAUAUCUAUUAUUUUUUACUUUAAAAGGUUUCAAAAGUAAUUUCCGUAUCUUACUUAUCAAUUAUUUUUUAUAAAAUAAACUAAAUAAUGAGAGGAAUAAUGAAAGUGUGGCGGAUUUUUAAUUUUAUUUGUUAAAAGGGAUGGGGAUAUGGAAUAUUACCCCUCUAAUUAUUGAUCAUGAAAACCAAAAGUACGAAGUUUUUACGAAUAUCGUGAAAUGCAUAUUUGAUAAAAAGACUAAUAUAUAAAUAAAAUAUCAUAAAUUAUUAAAAUAUUUGACAAAAAGUUAAUCUAUCAAGUCUAAUUAAAAAAUGAUUUGUAAUGUGAAUUCAAUAUUACUAAAACAAAUGAAACUGAAAAUGUAACAUAUGUUAUAAAUUCAAAACAAAAUAUUUAACAUAAUACUCUUAUCACAAAUUUCAACAUAGCAUACAUAAAUAUGAUUUAUUUUUUUUAUUUUAAAAAAAAAAAAGCGUAACUCUAUAACCUUACUUAAGAAUAAAUCUAUUUUAAUUUAAAAAUUAAAAUACUAAUAAAAUUAUGCUAAUGAGAAUAUAAGCAUGGCAUAAAGAAAUAGAUAAUACGAAAAACUGCAUAGAAUCACGUGAAGUAAGGUUGAAAAUGAGAAGAAAAUGAAAUAUAAUAAUAUAAAAUAAACUUUUAGAAAUUUUUAGAAUAAUAAUAAAAUAAAAAAACUUAAAAUAAUAAUUAAAAAAAAAACAAAAAAAAAAUUAAAAAGUAAUCAGCUGGUAGUUACACGAUGUAAAUUUAGGGGUGUGCACUAUUCAGAUUAAACCGAAUAACCAAACUAAAUCAAACCGAAUUUUUAUUUGGAUUGGUUUUUUGGUUUUUCGGUUUUUCGGAUUAACAAAUUACUUUGUUUGAUUUUUUGGUUUGGUUUUGGAUUUUAAAAAAUAAAAACCGAAAAAAAUCGAAUUAUAUAUAUAUAAUGUUUAGGCUUAGAAUUAAGUUGGAGUUAACCACUUUUGUCCCUUUUUGGUUAUUGCCUUUCAUGAUGAUUUCGUUUAUAUUUUAUGUUUGAAUUACAUCUAUAAUAGGUAUACUUAUAAGUAUUGUGUUUUAAGUUUUACUUAUGAUUUAUAUUAGAAAGUAUAUUUAAGGGAUUAAAUAUUAUUACUUUGGUUAUAUAUGUUAUUAAUUAUUGACAUAACCGAAUAACCAAACCGAAAAAAGCCAAAUCGAAUAGAGGAAAACCAAACCAAAUCAAAUUUAUUUUGGAUCGGAUUGGGUUACACUUUUACAAAACCAAAAACCAAAAAUCCAAACCGAAUAGUGUCAAACCAAACCAAAAAACCGAAUGCACACCCCUAGAUGUAAUUACCAGCAAUUCACAACCUCUCUCUGUGAAUUGGAGAAUGUAAUUACCCCCUGUCAAUUACAUGCUAACCAAUAAUUACAUGUCCAACCAAACAGGACAGACAGUGUAAUUACACCCAAUUACACCAAAUUCAAUUACCAGGGUGGCUUUCCAAACAGGCCCAAGUGUUUAGUAUAAAUAUUAGGUGUAAAAAAAAUCUUACAUACCAAUUUUUGCUGAUUUGGAAUUACACGUGGCAAGAAAAUGCUAUGCUGGACAUAUUAGAUAGAUUCUUUCUUACACAUGUGACCUCAUUAUAGGAUAGUUGCUUAAAAUGGACGAAAACUUUUAGAUUAUUAUAGUGGCGUGGCCAUAUAAAUCAGGGCGGAGCUAGCAUAUCGAUUACAGAUUCGAUAAAACUCACUAUAGAUCAUGUCUUUAUAAUAUAAAAUUACUCAAGAUGUAUAAAUAAUUUCUCAAAGAUCUUUAUAAUUUUUUAUCUAAAAUUCAUAAAUUUAAAAUUUUAAGUCCAUCUCUCGCAAUAAUUUAGUCAUCAAAUGAGAAAUGGUCUUGGAGUCAAUGACACAAAGAGCAUGAACAAAGAAAAUAAGUUUAUUGAAGUGGCCCUAAUCUUUCAUAAACUUAUGAUUUAUUAUUAGACAAACUCAAUUAUAGAGGAAUUUUCCUAGUAGUGGCCACUUGGUAAAGCAAUUUUAACAUAGAUGGCAACUGUGAAUAUGAUGUUUGAUUAGGUUAAUCACACUUAAUCAAUUAGCUAUAGAAACUUACUUUAGCUUUUCCUUGAAAAUACAUAAGAGGAUUGUUCGCGAUAAAAAUAAUUACUCCUUUUUCAAUUUUAUCCUCGGUGGUAAUUAUUUUUGAAGAUUAUAAAACUCUAGUUAUGGAGUAGUGACACAUAAAUAAAGUAAAAAUCUAACUAAAAGAUGUUAUAUUUUAAAGACAUAAAUAAAAGUAAAAUAAAAGAACAUUUCUUAAUUAAUAUAUUUUUUAAAGUACAUAUAAGAAAAUAAAAUACGAUAAAUAAUUUAAAACGGAAGGAGCAACUUAUUUUCUGAGGCUGCAAACAUUCUUCAACACUCCACGUGCGGCAUGUUCCCAGAGUUGAGUAUGAAAAUAAUUUUGGGUCAAUCGAUCAUUAAAUUAAUUAAUGUGCCAAACCUAUAUCCUUCGUUUCAAGUGCAAAAUUCAAAUACACGUUCCAUUAUUAUUAUUAUUAGGGGGUAUUGCUCUUUAACUAUAGAUCAGAUCAAAUAGAAAGAAACUUAAUUCCGCGGUGGGUGGGGCUGAUGCAAUUAAGGUUAAUAUGGUGUUUAUUGAAGUUGAUGAGCUUGUAGUACAAGAUUAGAAACAACGGACACUGCAUGAUGUAUCUUAAAUAUUUCUUUAAUUCUAUUUUUAACGACGAUGGACAUGAGACUCUAUUAAAAACAAAAGUUUUAUCACAAAUUAGUGAAAAUUUUGUAUUAAUCAUUUUUUAUCGAAUUAGCUCGUUGGGAAAAUAUAUGGUAAGAAAUUGAAUUCUCACUGAAAAUACUGAAAAACUUUCUAUUUUUUUAAUAUGAAAAUAGUGAUAUUCUUUUUCUUACCAAUUCAAUCAAACAUAUUUGUAGAAACAGCCAAUGAACAUUUUUUGAUGGAAAGUUUUAGUGAAAAAAUAAUGAUUUUGUAGUGUGGGUGAGGACAAUGGUAGUUAGGGUUUGUGCGAGAGAGAAUAUAUAUAUAAAAAAAAAGAGAAGAUCUCCAAAAUUCCUAAUAUGGUUUGUAAAUAAAUAAUUUUAGUUAUGAUAAAUAUAAGAGCAAAUUUUAGGAAUAACAAACAUAAAAAUCAUAGUACUGAUUUAUAACUAUAGUUUUGCUAUUUUGCUAUGGAGCAUCUGAUUUGUAUAAAUCACAGACAUCUGAUUUGUAUAAAAUCGCAGCGAUUGUAUAUGUAUAUCGACUAGAUAAUUGUAUAUAUGUAACUACUAUGUAUAUGUAUCAAUGAUUAUGUUUGUAUAUCUACAAAAAAUUUGAAUAUGUAUACAAUUGAAUCGAGUUAAAACAUUUGUAUUUGUAUAUCAAAUAUAUAUCUCUCUCUCACGCGCGCUUUAUACAAACACAAAUUAUACAUUGUAUUUUGUAUAAUUUGUGUUUGUAUAAAGCGAGAAAGAGAGAAAGGCAAAAGAGAACUGGGCAGGGGAAGAUUUGUAUUUGUAUAAUUAUAAGUGGAUAGGACGAAGAGAUAUGUAUUUGUAUAUACAGUUCUCUCUCGCUUUAUACAAACACAAACACAAACACAACUUAUACAUUUGUGUUUGUAUAAAGUGAGAGGCGAGCAAGAGAGUGGCGAGCGAGAUUCAGGGGAGAGAGGUAAAUGACAAAAAGUUUGUUGCGAACUGGAAUUAAAUGAAACUGUAGCUAUAUCAUUUAUUUUGAAUUAAUACUUUUCUAUAAUGCACAAUUUUUCCUAAAUAUAAAUUAUAUAUGUAAAAAUCCCUUUUAUGUGAUGAGUUAUUAAUAUGCACCUAGUAGUUUUGCAUUACUAUGUAUGGUAAUAUUGGGCUGUGUUGCCAAGGAACUUGGCCAACCAGGCCCAGCAAAAAAAAGGCCCUGACCCAGAAUGAGUUACCAGGCCAGGUCAGCUUGUCGUGGCAUGGGUUCGUGGGGAUUUAGUUAUUAUCGUAUAUUAAUUUAGUGAACUUAGUUAUUAUCGUAAAUUAACUUAAAAUCAUUGUAAAAACUCAUAAAUUUUAAAUCAUGGAUAUGAAUCAUACCGUUGAAAAAAAAGAGAAGAAAAAAGAGCAUGCAUUUGCUCACUAGUCACUACGCAUUAAUGUAUAAUUAACGUGAAGAAAAUUUUCGCUAGUGAGUACUCACUCCCAUAUUAUUUGUCCACCUAUUAUAAAUAAUUGUCCCAAAUCAAACCAAGAUAAUAAAUAUAAAAUUAGUACAAUAUAAGAUAGUAAAAUUACAAUGUCAAACUCAUGUAACUAAUUUUUUUUCUUCAUAUCUUUUAAUUAAUUACCUUCAACAUUCUCUACUAAUUAAACUAUAUAAUAUAAUUAGUACUCUUAAGAAAUAUGGGAUGAUUUUCUUGUACUUCUUCCACUCUUCCAAUUCCUUAGUAUCUGUAUUCUUUGAACUGUCUCCAUGAAUGUUCUGCAAAAUUAAACCAUUAUAUAUCCUCUGAAUAAAUACUGGAAACAACAAUUUCUAAUUUAUAUUUUACUUGUCAUAGAUCAAAUAUAAAUAAUGGUGUAGCAACCGAGCACUCCUGGAUUUGAAGUUUAUAAAUUUUACACAAUUUCAAGUUAAUAUAUACAAUAAUAAUCAGGUUUACAAUCAAAUAUUCAUCUAGAGAUGUUAGUAAAUUUUUGAAUACAUAUCUAAAGUAAGAGUAAAAGUUACUGAAUUUACGUGAAUCACAAUAGGAUAGAAGAGGUAAGGUACAUACUCCCAAGGUACAUCUCCAGCAAGCAUCCAAUCUCCUUCUUUGUCUUGGUACAAUAGUGUAAAGCGUCCAUCAUUUUCAUCACAACUCUCAUGUGCUGCAUAUAAAUUAACCAAACUUAUUAAUUCAAUUCUUAAUUAAUUCCUUAUUGUUAUUUUGUGAAAAAAAGAAAAGAGGACAUGCUAUUUUAAUUUUCAUAUUUUUAUAUAAUAAUAGUAGGAGUGAAUUAAUUACUUACAUUUAUGAAACAUUUGGAGCAAGGUGUUAGUAAGGAUUUGGUAAGAAUUAUAUAACAUUAGAUCAAUUUUUCUUCCAAUGGCUACUCCUUCCAUUUUAACCUUCACAUACAUGGAAUUUCUAAUUCCAAUAUUGUGUCUAUGAUUAAUAUUAUUAUUAUUUUUAUUCCAUCCAACUUCAUGAUUAAUCCCAUGAAUAAGUUUUUUUCUCCAUGAUUUAAUUGGUGGCCACCCCACUACUCCAUUUUCUUCCUUGAAUUCCCUGCAUCACAAAUUCAUAUUUAUUAAUUAGUAAUAAUUAAUAUAUUCUAAGAUCAGCUAAAAAAAAUGAUUUUUAAUACACUUAAGGAAAUUAAACUAAAAGAAUAACAAUAUUGUCAGACAAGAAAUUAUAAGUCAAAGCCAUUAAUUAGGAUUUCUAACUUAUGAUUCUGGACUUAUUUUGACUUAAUAACAAAGUGUUUAAAGUAUUUUUUUAAUCUUACCCAAAUGGCCAAACAAUAUACCAGUGUUUAAAAUCUGUUUUGACUUAAAAACACUAAAAAAUAAGUCAAUUCAAAUAAACUCCAAGUUUCCAAGUACAUAUACAAGUAUGUUCAAGUAGUUUAUGAUAUGAGAGAUCAAUGAGGAGCAGUGGUGCAGUCAUAAUUUUCAGUAAGAGAGUUUAAAAUAUGAUAAAGUAAAUAAAUAAUUUGAAAGAAGUUAAAAGUGAUUCAACAUUUUACUAUAAAAUAGUUUAAUCAUGUAUAAAAUAAAAUAAAUUUCCUUUAAAGGACUUCGAAUAAAACCUUAGACCCUAUCUGACUCCGCAUCCAACGAAGAGUUAGUAAAGGUAUGAAUGAAACUACAUAAACAUGUAGUAAUAAUAUAUUUACAACAAAUAGCAGAUAAUUUACAUUACACACAUUUUGUAACAUAAACUUACUGAUUAUAACAAGCUUCAAAAUUUCUCCUUUUUUGAUAACCAUCAUCAUUAUCAUCUUCUUCUUCAUUUGGUUGGCCAUUCCAUAUAAACAAAGGUAAUGUUUUACCUUCAACUUUGUUGCUACCAUAAUCAUCAUUAUUAAUCUUCUUCAUUUCUGAGAAGUUGUCAUCAAAUGUGUCAAUAUUAAUGUUGUCAUUUAGGUAGGAAGAUUUGAUAGGAUUAACAAAAUGGGAAUUAGGAAGUGCAAGACCAAGACCAAGCUCAAGUUCCAUCUCAUAAAUGAUAUCACAAAAAUACCUAUAGAUUUUAUAAAAGAAUUGGUAUAAUUUGUUGUAGAUGUUUAUUUAUUUAUAUAUAAGUAAAUAUUAAUGUGGUAGAAAAAGGAAAGAGAGGAGAAGGAGAAUUGUCUGGUGAGAAAAAGAAAAAGGGAGAGAGCAUUGAAGUUGGGUCGGCCAAAAGAGUAGCAAACAUAUCGACACCUCACAAAAGCAUGUUUUUGGACCAUCUCUCCCACACACUUCUAUACUAGUGGCAUAGUUACCGUUCGUGUAUAUAUCACAAAUUAUAGUAAAUUACGAUUAAGAAGAUAAAUAUUUAAGUUAAGGUGCAAAUAUCUUGCUUUUUCUAAGGAUAUUUGAGUCUACUGCAAUAUAAUUUACACCGAUUCAACAGUAGAACUCUUGACUUAUCUCCUUCAUGAUACAACAAUAUAAUUCAACAAUGUCGUAUAACUCAAAAACUUCAAAUUACAUUGGAAUGUAUUCCUUCAAUAUAAUAUUUCGUUCUUUUCAGUAGUGAAUAAGUUGGAGAUUUAGAAUAUUUUUCGUUUUCUCCACUCUUUCUUUCAAAUACUAAUCUCACUACACAUUACAAUACUUUCCCACACUAAUUCUCAUAAUUCUAAAGAUAUUUCAUUUAGACACUCGAAUUAACACAUUAACUUUUAAUAAAAUGUUUCAAUUAGAGAUUUACUAUAACAAAUAAAGAAUUUAACGACAAUAAUAUAAUUGUCUCCAUAUUAUAUUUAACGGCAAUAAUAAAUAUGAGUGUUUAUAAUAACACUUUAUAUAAAUAUUGCUAAAAGUUUUAGCGAUUCUGGAUGCAAUGAUAUUGACUCAAUUGUCGUUGAUAGGAAAAUCUAUUGCCAUAAAAUGUCUCUUUUGUUGUAGUGACUUUAGAUUCAGUUUUGGAAUUUUUUGUGUGUAUAUUCUUAUUCGUUUAUUAAAUAGUUAAAUUAAUCAUACACAUCAAUCUUAAAAAUAUUUUUAUUUUACAUUAUCCAUAUAUAUUAGUUAGUUUAACUCUUGAAUUAGCAAUUAAUAAAGUGUUCAUUGAUUUUUCCUUUUGUUUUCAACUUUUUCAUAUAUAAAGUAGAGCUUAAUUAAUUCUCUUGUGAUCCGUCCGACAAUGCAACUGAUGGUACAAUCUCUUGUCUUUUACUUUUGUUACCUCCUAAAAAUUACAAAUGGAAUUUAUGAUAAACACUUUUUUUUCCCUUAUUAAAUUAGGUCUUGAACUUUAUUUUACUAGUCAUAACUCAAAAAUUAGUUUAACGAAAAAAAAAGAUUGUCCAAAUUAUAUACCACCUAGAGUUUUCGUCUUUCACCGAUCAUAUAGGAUUCAUUCUAUUCAUCAUCUUUCUCUCCAAGCUCAGAUACAAAUAUUCUUUAUCAGAGGUUCCACUAUCUGAUCUAGUGCGUGCAAAUACAUUCAUGAAGUACUCCUAUAUUUCCCCCGAUAACUAUUCGAGACCCUAAAGAUCCGCAUCGAAUUAGGUCUAACUCCAAUAACGUAAAGAAGUUUAAUUUCUUAAAUGAACUCAAUUUCAUUCACAUUGUCCCACAUUUCCUUCUUUUCUAUGAAUACUUGUUUGACCUAUUGAUCCAGCAUGCAGUCCUUUGUUUACCAAGAAAAAGUAAAAGAUACUAUAUAAUUUUCCAUUAACAAUCAAUGGUAAAUUGAACAUUAUAAUAAAGUAGAACAAGAAUAUAUAUCUUCUCCCUUUAAUUUCCUAGUUGUUGGAAAAUGACAUAUCAUUACUAAUUAAAGGAUUAAUUGCUAAUUCAAGAUUUAAUGCGUGUGAACGAAACUUAAACGUGUUUUAUCAAAUAAAGUAUUAAAGCAAAAUAUUUUUUUUGUCUGGCAUGACAAAUGUUUGGACAAAUUUAGGUCAUGACUUGUUUAUGUCCCCAUUAAAAUAUGAGUAAAUUUUCCUUUAAUUAAUUUUGAACCACAAAAGGCGGUUAAUACUUCAUAACGAAUUACUGCUAAUUAACUUAAGAAUUUACAGAAAUAAAUAUUUAAAGAACAAUUAUAUGGAAUUUCUUAAUUAAUUAAUCGGUAGUCUGAAGAUAAUAAUAAAUUUAUCGUUUAUAACGUGUUAAAAUUAAAAUAUAUACGAAUUUGUAAAAAAUAAAAAAUAAAAAAAUUAGUAUAACCUAAGGAUAAAAUUAAGACCAGUCUGAAUACGAUCUUUCUGGUUACACUCAUUAGAAGUAACAAUUAUUAAUCGGGGCGGAGCUAGUGAUAUAGUUACAAGUGAAUUUAAUAAUUUUUAUUUAGAUUAUAUAUAUGUGUUAAAUAAUCCAUUAAAUGUAUAUGAUGUAUUUAAUUGGCUUGGAAUCCAGUCCAUUGAUUUGAUUAUUAUUACAAUAUUAAUUUAAGAUUGUUAUAAGAUAAAUCGACGUAAAAUUAAAUUAACUUUUUGAAUUUGCCUCUGAUUAUUACUAUCAUUUGUCUAAAUAACUAAGAUUAGAUUUGGACAUGUGCUACAUGUCUGAGAUGAAAGUUCAAGAAAUUAAAGUCAUGAUGCAACCACUCUCAUCAAUUGAAAAAUCUCCAAAAAAAAAAUCAUGAGAAAAUUGGCAAAAUAUUCUAUUGGUUUUGGUUGGUUAGUUUGGAAGCAUGCUACUUGAUAUUUCUAAAUUGGAUUAAAGGUUGAUUCCUUAUGUCGGAUGUUUGUUUUCUCAUUCAGUAUUCAAUAUUCAUAUUGAAACUCGACUGAUUUAAAUUCGCAUCGUGUAGGAUUCAUUUGGGAGAAUGACAAUUAUUUGUUGAACAUAUUUCCACAUGAAAUUAUAGGAUAUGCUUUUUUUUUUUUGGGGUGGGGGUGGGGGGUGGAAUCUGUAGCUAGAUGGACAAAACAACCAACAAAGAUAGACAAUGGUUUGGUGAGUGUUUUGGGGUCAAUUGGUUUCCAAGAAGUUUACACAGUUCUUGAAUAGUCCCAUGGUGGUUUGUAUCAUUCAAUGUAUACAAUUCCUAAUUGGUACUUUGUUAUUGGUGGAACAUAUUUUUUUUUUUUCUCAACGAUAACAAUUACUCUUUUCGUUUCAAUUUGUUCUUUUAUAAUUUAAUAAAUUACACAAAAUCUAAGAAAGUAAACAAUUUACUUUCUUAGAUUUAGUCGUUCUGAAUCUCUUAUACUAAAGAUAUGUAUAAUAUAUCAGUUUUUUUUUAAUUUUUUAUCGUUUUAAAUAUGUCAUAAGAAAUGUUAUGUUAAAAUUAACGAGUUAUCAAAUUAUGAUCGUGGUAUGUAAUGAUCAUGUGGAUCUAAUAUACCAAACAAAAUGGAGCUACCUUAGUGGGCAUGAAUAUAUCAUAUGAUGAAAGUCAUGGAUCACAUUGUUGUCUAAUUAGGACUUGUUUUUUCCCAAAAGAAGUCAUAUGUCUCCCAAGACUUAACAUUUUGGGGUCAGUUUUGAUUACUGAUGUCUGAAUUUUUUCUAUCAAAAAGUAUGCUAAGAGAACAAUUAAAUAUUGAAAUCAGCUUUCUUUUAAUUUUUAAAAAACUUAAAAAGGUCAUAGAAAAAAUUAUACUUCAGAAGAACGUAAAAACACCAUUAAUUUAGAGCGUAAGACUAGUAGACAGUUUACUAUGGACGAUAUCAUAAUUAAAGGGGUCGUUUGGUUUGAAUACUAGUUAUGUUGGGAUUAGUUAUGCUGGGAUAAGUUUACUGGGAUAAGUUAUGCUGAGAUUAGUUUUUAUUGUUUGUUUGGUUUGUCAUAUUCAAACUAAUAUUCAUUGUAUAAUUUUUUGAGAAUAAGUUGUUUGUUUACAAAAAUACCCUCACCUUAUAUAGUUUUUUUUUUUUUUUUUUACAUUUUCUUUGCAAUCUUUAGUUAUUCAUUCAUAAAAAUAAAAUUUCCAUCUUAUUUAGCUUAAAUAUUUUUGUGUGUGCAUUUCCAUGAUUGUGCCAUAUGUUUUAAAAUUUAAAUGCUCAUCUUAUUUAACUUAAAAAUUAAACUUUCGUCUUAUUUAGCUUAAAAAUAAAUGUUCAUCUUAUUUAGCUUAAAAAUAAAUUUUUCAUCUUAUUUAGCUUAAAAAUAAAACUUUCAUCUUAUUUAGUUUAAAAAUAAAACUUUCAUCUUAUUUAGCUUAAAAAUAAAACUUUUGUUUUUUAAGUUUAUUAAAGUAAAAGAAAAUUUAUUAUUAAAGUUAUCUACAUUUUAAUUAUAAAUAAAAUAUAAUUUUUUAAGUGAGUAAUAAACUAUUUUAAUGAAAAAUAUGUAAUUUAGUAGUGGAGUGAACAUUUUAAGAGAAAUCAAAAUAAUAAAUAAAACAUAAAUAAUUACGCAAAUAAAUUUAACUUAUAAUAUAUUCAUAAAUAAAAAUUGUAUUUAUAAAAUGUAAAUUUUUAAUAGAAAAAUGUAUUUAUCAUAAAAACAACGAAUACUUAAGGUUGUGAAUGAUAUUAUAAAUGUUGUUAAAAAUUAUGUUAAUAUGUAUGAAUGUAAAAGUGGUGUAUAAAAGAGAGUUUAAGGGGGGUAUUUUUGUUAAUUUAUACACUUUAUCCCAUGAUAACUUAUCCUGGGAUUACUAUAUCACCCCCAGUGAGGGAUAACUUAACCCAUGACUAAUUGUUAAUCCUGAGAUAAGUUAUCCCUACCUUUGCAACCAAACAAUGAAUUAAAUGCCACUAAAAAAUUAUUCCAGGAUUAAUUCAUCUUAUCCAUCACACCAAACGACCCCAAAGGGUCAUAUAAAGAGUCCCUAAAUCCCCAUUCUACGAAUGAUGUGUCAUGUGUGGGACUCAACACAUUAAACUUUGAUUCAUUUUCUGAUAUUAAUCAUAAUUAAAUGCAACAAAUCAUACAAAAAAAAGACAAAGUACACGUAUAUGAACAAUAAAUUGUUCAUGAAUGAUUACAAGUAGAACAAAAUUAUGUUGUCUCGAUGAAAUGUAUAAUUUCUAGCUAAGUGGACCACUUCAUUUCAAAGUGUCAAUUGGGCAUGCACAAGACAAAAUUUAAAGAAAUUCAAUGUAUAUAAUAUAUAUACAUAAUUUCUUUUUACCCUACAUGGUAUAAUAUUCUGACAAAGGUGGUUCCAUUACUGUCAAGAUGAUCGAUCGUCUCUAAGUAAUUUGUUUUCCUCAACUUCAAUUUUGAUGUUUCAAUUUAUAUGAAUUUUUUCGAUUGGAUACAAAUUUAUGAUCAGUUUUAAUUUUUAAAUAUGCCAAAAUAUUUAUGUUAUAAAGAUAAAUAAAAAUGAAAUUAAAUAACUUUCAAAUUUAAGAAAAAACAUUCUUGUUAAAUGCACUAAAAAGGAAAUAUGAUUAUGUUAGAAGUGUAGCAUUCUUGUCUAGGAAAAAUGUACAUGUUCAAUAAAGCAAAGAUGAAAAGGGAUAAGAGUUUGAAAAAUAUCUUAACUUUUGCCGAAAUUGCUGUUACGAUACCAAACUUUAAUGAGGACCUAUUACCCCCAAACUAUUUAAUACCAUAUUUUAAACAUAUAUAUUUGUCCACAUGGACAUAAAAAAUAAUGCAUAAUUAUAAAUAGUAAUAUGUCCACGUGGGCACAUAUAUACCUUUAAAAUACACCAUUAAAUAGUUCAGGGGGUAAAAAAUACACUAUUAAAUAGUUCAGGGAUAAUAGGUCCUCCAUAAAGUUUGGUAUCGUAACAACAAUUUCGGCCAAAAUUGAAGUAUUUUUCAGACUCUUAUCCCUAAAAAGAAUAUCAACAACACAUGAUUUACUUUAUUCUUCCUUUGAACAAAAAAAAGAGAAAAACUUUAUUCCUCCUAAUUGAUUUAUAGGAGUCUAUUGGGUACUAGAGGAGGAGCUUCCUUUGAAAAGCAAAUACAUAGUGCAUUGUACAUUGUAAAGAAGAAAGAGAAGUUCCUAACACAAAAAAAUGUGUUUAUUACUCUACAAACACAUUCUUCUUCUUUUCUAUUUUCUUUUUUUGUUAUUUUCUAGAUUUGCGUCGUGUAGCAUAAAAUUUAUUUAUACCUAGGAAUUGAAUUUAUGGUCUUUAAGAAUCUUAUACAUUUUAGGAAAAAUUACCUAAAUACAUAUAAGAUUUUUCCAUAAUCUCUAAAAUUUUCAAUCAUUUACAAAAAUUUCAAAAAUUCCCUCUCGAAUUUAUCACUCUCCUCUCGCUGAUACAUUCCUAUCCCCUCUCAGAUACAUUCCUCACAUAUGUAUCUAGAUGUCUGCUGAUGUAUCCGGAAGUCCAGUGAUGUAUUCAGAUGUCCUAUCCCCUCUAUGAUACAUCCCUCCCCUCUCGGAUACAUCCCUCACUUAUGUAUCCGGAUGUCCAGUGAUGUAUCAGGAAGUCCAAUAAUGUAUCCGAAAUCCAUAAAUUUUAAAUUUUUUUUAUAAUUUGAAAAAGAAUAGAAAAAUAAUGUAAUUAAUUCAUAACACUCGUUUUAUGACAAGGAUUAAUGUUCUUCAAUCUUAUUUGGUACCAAAAGCACUCACGAAAAGGAUUAAAAUCGAAGCGGGCCUAGUAGAAUCACGGGUUCUCGGUGGCCCAACUUUGUUAUUCCAUCUGUGGCGCGUGAUAGGGACGUUUAAUUCCAUUUAGGAACAACAAUUCUCCCUCCCAGUCAUAAACGCACCAAAUAAGUAGGCACAAAGUCACCUGUUGUUACAGACCGAUAAAUAUUUCUUCAUUCUUAGGAUUCGUUUGGCCAUAGAUUUCUCAAGUAAAAUUUAGGGGAAAAAUUGACAAAUAGUGUUUGUCCAUAUAGUUUGUCAUUAUUUGAUAAAUAUUUUUGGCAAAUAACCCAAAUUCCCAAAUACUAGAAAAAACUAGUAUUUGGGUCAAAUCUCAUUAUUUGGGAGCUUUAAAAAAUUCAAAUUCUAUAUCAAACUUUUAUCUUUUACAAAAACAUAGUAGUUGUUUAUGUUGUAUUACAUAAGUAAUUUUUUACGUGAACACCAAACCAGUGAUGAAAUAUUCAGUGAAUAUGAAAGUGAUGAUAUGGUUGUUGAUGAAAAUGACGAAUAAUUGGCUCAGGGUAAUAAAGUCAUGUGCUCCGUCUACUUCACGAUGUAUGGAAUGAUGCUUGUUGCACUACCACAUUGCUCUAGUGUCAUGGACACUACUUGUUAUUUACUGCAACAAAGGUCCAAUUGACUUGUUGCGGAAGUCACGAAUCUUGUUACGUCGACGUUUCUAUUUUGCUAUGUAAUACAAUGGUUAGUUUUGAUAGUUUUUAAAACUUAUGGGUAUAAAUCAAAUUUAUUAAAAAUAUGAAAUACAUUUCCCAAAUAUUAUGCCAAACACAUGGUGAAAUUUCACCCAAAUAAUAUUUGUCAAAAAUAUUUGGGAAUCUGUGGCCAAACGCUAGCUUAAUAGCUUUCGAAUUUAAAUUAUUUGGAUAAAGAGUUGCCUUUGUUAGAGAGUGCUUUAAUAUCAAUGUGAGAUUUUCAGACGCAAAUUUAAAUUUGUCGGACUCCAAUAUAAAUAUCGGACACUGAAUUGAAAAAAAAAGUAGGCAGAAAGUGAUAGUAGAAAGCAAUUGAAUUGAAUUCUUUAUGUUCCACUUAGAAUUUCCUCCAACAUAAGCCAACCACAACCUUAAAUGUGCACCAAAGAAUCAAUCAAUCACCAAAAGAUAUAUAUAAUAAUACUACUAAAACAAUAACUAUAUUUUAAUAUUAGAAAACUUAAGGAGAUCAAAUUAGAGAUCUUUAAAAUGGUGAUGUUAUGAAUCAAGUAUAGUUUUAGUUUACUACUUAUAAAUGGUGUACUAGUUAUGGAAGUUUUAAAGAGGGAUGAAGAAGAUGUUAGUCCUAGAUUUUCAUUUCAAAAGAAUGGAUCAUCAUUGUCUUGUGUAGUACCACCAUUUUUGCUCAGCCCACAAAAGAGCUUGUACUACAACAAGUUGCCUGAGGAGCCAUUCAAUCUCACAAUACUCAAAUUGGAUGGCUCUUCCUUUGGUAUUUUUUCUUAUUUUCCUCCUCCUGUUGAAUUGUCUUAUGAAAUACUGAAAUUGAUCUCCAUCUUUAUGUGUCUGUAUAGACGACGAAUUCAGGAUUUAGAGUCGGUGAGUUCAAAUAGUACUGAAAUUCAUGUGUGUAUGCCCUUAGAAAUGGAUCCAGAAUUCAGAUAUUAGUAUUGUUUAUUUGUGUGUAUUUUUUUAAUUAUUCGGGCUAGGGAAUGGUAUGGGAUUACAAGGUGGGGAAUGAACCCUCACUGAGGUGAAAGUUCAAGUAGCCAACUAACUGACUUACUAAUAAUCCCCCAUAUAUGUGUGUAUAUACAUAUACAAUCUUGGAGCCAAGAAUUUGGCGAAGGGUGUGCAAAUUUUCUUCUCAGUUGUGUUAAGGGGGUGCUAAAUUAAAUAUACACUCAUAAUAGCUAACAUUUAACCUCUGUAUACCACAUAAUUUUCAAGAGUGUGCCCCAAACCAUCCUUCACCUAAGAUGGCUCCGCCCAUGUACUUAUAUGUAUAUGAUUUUUUAAAUAUUUUGAUAUGUAUAUAUGGUUUGAGUCCAAGGUAGUAGGACAUUAGGUGCUAUCACACUUAUUCUAUACUACCUUGUUUGAUCCACAUGUGGUUCGCUAGAAUUGAUGUAUCCAGGGGCGGAGCUAGCUUGGAGGAAGGGGAUUCAUUUGAAAUCCCUUCACUAUUAAGCAAAUAGGGUGAAAGGUAGUCCUUUUUUGUGUUGUUUUGUUGUAUAUUAGUUUUCAAACGCCCUUGACAUGAGAAUUCUUUUAGUGGAGUGGCAAAGGGGGUUCAAAAAUUGCUUUACUUAGUAAGCUUCAUCAUUGGUCAUGUAUCAUAUGUUUUUUCAAAUGGUCAGAUCAAUUGAAUUUUGUGUUGUGCAGAUAUUAAAGUUGCAAGGAAUGGGACAGUGGCGGAGCUGAAACAGGCGGUGGAAUCUGUCUUCAGUAAUUUUCCGAAGACAGGAACAGGCAAGGUUUCAUGGUAUGUGCUUUGCAAAAAGGAACUUUCAAACUAAACUUCUUCUGUUGUAGAUUGCUUGAGACUUAUACUUCGAUUUCUGUCUGACAUAAUUUGCAUAGCUGUUUCACUGUAUAUUACCUUAGCUAGUUCUUUCAAAUUCACUAGUUUUAUUGUGACAAUAUUACAGGUCACAUGUAUGGGGACAUUUUUGCUUGAGCUACGAUGGGCGGAAGCUACUUACUGAUAGUGAUUUGUUAGGAACCUAUCGGAUCAAGGAUGGCGAUAAGGUUUCUUCUCAUUCAUCAUAUUUCCACUCUAGGAAAGUUCUCUUUUAUCUAAUCUUUAUAUGAUUUGCUUAUGUUACUUGUUGCCAAAUGCAUUGGAAUAUGCAAUUUGUAAAAGGAGAUGUAUAGGCUUUGAAGAAAAUUGAUUUUUUUUAGCCAAAUCAGAAUCUUGACAUCUGCAGUUGAAUGUGUGUGGUUCAAUAUAUUCCCGUUUGUUUGGAAAUUACUAAGCUCCUUCGAGUACAUCUUCGUUAGCAAAUAAUUCUGAAUGCACUAUAAAGAGGUGAAAAUGGUCUGAAGAGAGACCUGUAAAAAGCAGGUUCAAUUACUAAGGUCUAAGGCUCUAAGGAGAUUCUGGUUCAAAUGAAUUCUCCCAACCGAAAAGAAACAGAUUUAUCAUCAAAAUAUUUUAGAUAAUCGUGAAAAUGUAAGAUUGCUCACGUAGACAGAUUUCACACGGUGUUUGCAUAUAGCCAGAGGCUGUGGUUUCUUUCACUAGACUGAUUGUUUAUCCGAUUUUGUCUAUAUUCUGGCUUAUGAGAUCUCGUUCAGCAGUUUCUUUCCACCCUGGAGUUAAGAAUUUUUCAGAUCAUUGCUAAUGAUUAUGUGCUUUUUUCGUUAUAAAGCCCAAGUGGAAUUUUUUAACAUUUCCUUAACGCGCUAAAGCUUGAUGUUUUUGCAUUUGCAGCUCAGUUUUAUGAGGCAUGUCUCCAUCAGUUACAAUCUGGUCAAAACGCGAUCAGAGAGAGAGGACCCUAGUAAGAAUGAACCUAGCAUGUAAGAUAUGUAUAUUGUUUUCAUCCUUAUUGUUGGUUCAUGUGUUCUAAUAUUGCACUUCACCCAUGCCUGUUAUGGUAUUGUUUGCUAUCGAUGCUUGAUUCUUCCAUAGAUUGCAAACACUAGGCCUAAGUUGCUGGAGACACUUGGUCAUAAAAGUUGAAUCUUGUUCAUCUAGGUGUUUCCAUAUAUAGUUUCUAAUACUAGAAUAUUGUCAUUUAUAUGUUCCAUUUAUAGUUUCUAGGGAAAAUGCAUAAGUACCCCCAGCCUAUGCCCGAAAUCUCAGAGACACACCUAACCUUUACUAAGGUCCUAUUACCCCCCCGAACUGAAUUUAUCUAUAAUAUUCUACCCCUUUUCGGCCUACGUGGCACUAUCCUUGAAAAAAUUGUCAACGUGUGCUGGGCCCACAAGAUAGUGCCACGUAGGCCAAAAAGGGGUAGAAUAUUACAUAUAAAAUAAGUUCGGGGGGGUAAUAGGACCUUAGUAAAGGUUAGGUGUGUCUCUGGGAUUUCGGGCAUAGGUUGGGGGGUACUUAUGCAUUUUCCCUAGUUUCUAUGUUGAUUUCUUGCCAGUACUGCUCACCACACUUUGUGUGAUCAUGCAGAGUUUAUGCAUAUUUUUAUGAAAUGUUCACUAUAUGUAUGAAUUUGUCUUGCAUAGUGGCAUUGUAAGGGCACAUAGAUAACAUCAUCUUUGAAAAUGCAUUUUUGCAGAUCAAAAGGCUGUGAAAGCAGACAACGGAGAGGUGAACGAGAGGGUAAUCACCAUCAAGAUGACUUAUCAGAGAACCAAAGCAAUAAUCAUGACAACAACAAGGGUGUUGUAGCUAAUUGUGAAUCCAGGUUGGUUCAUUUGUUUAGAGGGUGGCUCCCAUACAAAUUGACAAGCCCAGAGAGGAGAAUGAAACAGAAGAGCAGCACAUCGAGAUCACACGAUGGUCUACUUAUGGAGUUCUAACAGUGUUGUGCUAUGAUUAGUACUUUUGAAAGAGAGGAAUCCAGCAACUGUUUGCAAAUGUCAAAGAGAGUUGGAGAGUGAAAUGGAAAACAUCCACCUCUAGUUAAAGUUCUAAACUUUUGACUUUAUAAAAGAAGAUCAGUUGCCUGCCUAUGCAUCUGUUCCAUUUCCUCAUUUGCAUAUCAAAAUUAAUUGUGUACAUGAAUUUGCUUGUGUAGAACAAAAAUAUCUCUUUGGUCAUUAGAAACAGCAAAUCCACUAUCAUCAGACUUGAACUUCUGCAUUCUGGUUUGGGAUCUCCAUGAGUAUUCAAAAAGAGUUUGUGUUUUAUACACUGACGGUAUAAAAAGCUACUUACACAAUUCAGUCACUCAUGAACUAAUUAUAGGUACAUACUACAAGGAUUAAAUGGUAAUCUAGUAGAAAUGUUAACUAAUGGUAUGCUCCUCAGACUUGUUCAAAAAUGUCAUUGUGAUCCUUCAAAAAAGUUGUGCAUUUUUGGAGGAUUUUAGAAGAAUCCGAGAAACUUCAUACUAGCCUAUCAUCAUAGGUUAAAACUACACUAAUAGAGUAAACAUUAUUUACACUAUUAGCAUGUUUACUUGAACCGAGACAAGAAAUUAGGCAUAUGAAUUAACUUGCGGACCACAAUUUUCAAACUUUUUAGUCACUCUACCAACUAAUAACAAGUGUAAUUUUUUUUUUUCUGGUUUCCCAUCUCAUUAUAUCCGUCUUGGAGCCCUAUUAAUUUGGAUUCGGCCCAUUCAGAUGUAGCACCCGUUACCAAAAACUAUUAACCUUAUCCACUGCACCACGACAUUUGGAGAUACUAAAAUUGUGUAACUAAUUAAACAAGGAUAUGACUUAGAAAAAUAUACUCAGAGAGAAAAAGAAUGACCUCACGUGAGUCGCACACCCUUAGAGCUCCAAUUCUCAGCCUCAACUUAUUGUGUGGCAUAGAUUGAGAUAGCCUUUCUAAGAUCUUCCUUGUUUCCUUUUGUUAAAAAAAAAAUAAUCAAGAUUCGAACCUCUCAAAAAGAUUUUGUUUUUUUACAACUGCAAAAUCCCAAGUUGCAGAAGAGUAGAAAAAGAAGAAGAAGCCAUGGCCAACAUGAUGAUGAGCUCCUCCAAAGUCUUAAUCACUUCUUCAUCUUCCACCAUCCCUCCAUCUCCAAGAUUCAAACUUUCCCUCACCCAAAUCCCUUUUCCAAAACUACCCCUCCCCAAAUCACCCAAAUCCCUUGAAACCCUCUCAAUCCCAUCAACUCUCAAGUCCAUUUCAGUCAUUCUUGCAAGCUCAUUGGCCAUGGCACCACCUUCACUAGCAGAAGAAAUUGAAAAAGCUUCCCUUUUUGAUUUCAACUUGACACUCCCAAUCAUGAUGGCUGAAUUCCUGUUUCUCAUGUUUGCUUUAGACAAGAUUUACUUCAGCCCAUUAGGGAAAUUCAUGGAUGAAAGAGAUUCUGCCAUUAAGGAGAAAUUGAGCAGUGUGAAGGACACCUCUGCUGAAGUGAAGCAACUGGAAGACCAGGCUGCUGCAAUUAUGAAGGCUGCAAGGGCUGAGAUAUCAGCAGCAUUGAACAAGAUGAAGAAAGAGACUCAGCAAGAAGUAGAACAGAAGAUUGCAGAAGGAAGGAAGAAAGUUGAGGCUGAAUUGCAAGAAGCUUUGGCUAGCUUAGAGAGUCAAAAGGAGGAGACAAUCAAGAGUCUUGAUUCUCAGAUUGCUGCUCUUAGUGAUGAGAUUGUCAAGAAAGUCCUUCCUGUCAGUAACUAAUUCUGAAAAGUUGUAAUGUUUUUUUUUCUUGGGAUUGGUAAGAGUUAACAGCUUGUUUGGAUGGAUGGUUGUUACAUGUAAUAUUGUACUGUGUUGUUAGUUUAAAUACAAUGUUUAUUUUGAUUGUUACUUAAUUUUAUUAUAUCAUAUCAUUAAAACCAUUGUUAUGUAACCACAAAAAGUCUCAUUUUAUAUAAUGAGAUUUGGUGUGAUCACGUUGUUAUGUUGGUUUUUUUUUUUUGUUGUUGUUGUGAUGCUCUUCCCCCUCUCUCUCUCUCUCUCUCUCCUUCUCUGGUAUUCUCUCAUAUUUUUCAGCCUUCUAGCUGCUGCAUUUUUUAGUAAACUGUAAACCCAACAUUUACAUCCAUAUAUGCAUUAUGCAAACAUAUUUAUAAUUUUACCAUUUUUUGUUCUUUGCACUGAAAAGAACUGAUUGUCAAAUAGUCUUUGUCUGCAGAUAUGGACUCCCAGCUGAUAGAUUAUGGAUUAGUGUUUACGAAGAUGAUGAUGAAACUUUUGCACUAUGGCAUGAUGAGGUACAACACUGAAAGAUAUGUCUGAUGCAUUAUAUCUUUAGUGAAGUAAUAAGGUCAAUCCUUCUACAAUUAACUAGUUAUGCACUUAUGCAUGGUAGGGAUCUGGUAAAUAAAUGCUGGAGCGCAACCUUCCAUUUAGACUGAACAGAGGUGUAUUAUGGUCAUUCAAAGAUACCUAGAGAACUUCAUUGCUUUCCAAGUGAAGUGAAGUGAAGUGUAUCAAACAGCCAAAUACUGUAUUUUAAGAUCCUGAAAUAUGUAUACUGUACAGUUUCAAGAAAUAUGUAUACUGUGUUCAAACUUAGAUGAGUUUCAAGGCUAAAACAAUGUCUCUCCAUUAUGGCUUAGUCAGUGGGGAUAACUCAAAUAAUGACUUAGAAGAACACAUUUAUUUUGAUAAGUGAGAAGAGCACAUUUUAUUAUUAAGCUACCUCAGUUUAAGUCAAAGGAACCUCAUUUACGUUGGAGUGUGCUCUGUCAAAUAUGAGAAGUCUAUUGCAACCAAGUUUUAAGAAUGACUGUAUUUAGUUCACAUUUUGAUCUUGAAUGGAAUAUCUUUUGACGUUCUCGGUCUGUGUGCUUAUGCUCCCCAAGUGGGCUUGGACGAGGAGGCCAAAAAGCGCUUUUAUGAGGAUUUGGAUGAGGUAGUUAGAGGUAUACCGAAUACCGAGAAGAUUGUCAUUGGUGGAGAUUUUAAUGGCCACAUCGGGGCAACUGCUAGUGGAUUUGAUGAUGUUCAUGGAGGCUUUGGUUUUGGGGAGAGAAAUGGAGGUGGAACUUCGCUUCUAGACUUUGCUAAGGCUUUUGAGUUGGUGAUUGCUAACUCAUGCUUUCCGAAGAAGGAGAACCACUUGGUUACCUUUCGUAGCCCGGUAGCUAAGACCCAGAUAGAUUACUUUCUCCUUAGGAGGGGUGAUAGAGGUCUAUUUAAGGACUGCAAGGUUAUCCCAAGUGAAAACCUCACUAUCCAACACAAGCUUUUGGUGUUGGACUUGAAGAUUAAGAGGGAUAGGAGGAAGAAGAUGUUAUCUGACCGACCGAGGAUUAAAUGGGGUGGGUUGACCCCUGCCCUUUCUCGGGAGAUGGGUGAGGAGCUGAUGGGGAUGGGGGCAUGGAGUGGUAGCGGGGAUGCGGACAACAUGUGGAAUAAAGCAGCUAGUUGCAUUAGGGAAGUUGCUUCUAAGAUGCUAGGGGUGUCUAGGGGUAAAUUCGGAGGACAUAAAGGAGAUUGGUGGUGGAAUGGGGAAGUCCAAGGUAAAGUGGAAGCGAAGAAGGCUGCAUACACAAAAUUGGCGGAGUGCGUAGACGAGGAAGAGAAGCGGACGCUUAAGAAAGCCUAUAAGACGACAAAGACAGAAGCUAAGUUAGCUGUUUCGAAGGCGAAGACGGCAGCUUUCGAACGCUUGUAUGUCGAGUUGGGGGACAAAGGUGGGGAUAAGAAGUUGUAUAGGCUCGCAAAAGCAAGAGAGAGGAAGGCGCGCGACUUGGACCAAGUGAAGUGUAUCAAAGAUGAGGAAGGCAAAAUACUGGUGGAAGAGACCUCUAUCAAGCAAAGAUGGCGAAGCUACUUUCACAAACUUUUAAAUGAAAAAGGGGAAGCGGACAUUGUGUUGGGUGAUUUGGCACACUCUGAAAGACUUCGGGAUUUUGGAUACUGUAGGUGCGUUACGCCCGAGGAGGUUAUACGGGCUAUUAGUAGGAUGAGUAGGGGAAGAGCGACCGGACCCGAUGAGAUUCCGGUAGAAUUUUGGAAGAACAUGGACAAGGCAGGCAUAGAGUGGUUAACUGGGCUGUUUAAUGUUAUUUUUAAGACAGCGAAAAUGCCUGAUGAAUGGAGGUGGAGUACAAUGGUUCCGUUGUAUAAAAACAAGGGUGAUAUCCAAAACUGUAACAACUACAGGGGUAUUAAAUUGUUGAGUCAUACUAUGAAGAUUUGGGAGAGAGUGGUGGAGAUGAGAGUGAGAAAAGGGGUGUCCAUCUCCGAGAACCAGUUUGGAUUCAUGCCGGGACGUUCGACUACCGAAGCCAUUCAUCUUAUGCGUAGACUGGUAGAAAAGUAUAGAGAAAGGAAGAGAGACCUUCACAUGGUGUUCAUUGACCUUGAAAAGGCCUAUGACAAAGUACCGAGGAAUGUCCUCUGGAGGUGCUUGGAGUCUAAAGGAGUCCCGAUGAUUUAUAUUAGGGCGAUAAAGGACAUGUACGGUGGAGCCAAGACUCGGGUUAGAACAGUUGGAGGAGACUCAGAACAUUUCCCAGUUGAGAUGGGGCUGCACCAGGGAUCAGUCCUAAGCCCUUUCCUAUUUGCUUUGGUGAUGGACGAGUUAACGCGGUCUAUUCAGGAGGAGGUCCCAUGGUGUAUGUUAUUUGCGGAUGACAUAGUACUGAUUGAUGAGACGCGGGACAGAGUUAAUGCGCGGUUGGAGGUGUGGAGACAAACGCUGGAGUCCAAAGGGUUCAGGUUGAGUAGGACCAAAACAGAAUAUUUGGGGUGCAAAUUCAGUGAUGUGGUAGAUGAGACAGAUGUGGAAGUGAGACUUGCCGCACAAGUCAUUCCUAAGAAGGAAAGUUUUAAGUAUCUUGGGGCUGUAAUCCAAGGGAGUGGNNNNNNNNNNNNNNNNNNNNNNNNNNNNNNNNNNNNNNNNNNNNNNNNNNNNNNNNNNNNNNNNNNNNNNNNNNNNNNNNNNNNNNNNNNNNNNNNNNNNNNNNNNNNNNNNNNNNNNNNNNNNNNNNNNNNNNNNNNNNNNNNNNNNNNNNNNNNNNNNNNNNNNNNNNNNNNNNNNNNNNNNNNNNNNNNNNNNNNNNNNNNNNNNNNNNNNNNNNNNNNNNNNNNNNNNNNNNNNNNNNNNNNNNNNNNNNNNNNNNNNNNNNNNNNNNNNNNNNNNNNNNNNNNNNNNNNNNNNNNNNNNNNNNNNNNNNNNNNNNNNNNNNNNNNNNNNNNNNNNNNNNNNNNNNNNNNNNNNNNNNNNNNNNNNNNNNNNNNNNNNNNNNNNNNNNNNNNNNNNNNNNNNNNNNNNNNNNNNNNNNNNNNNNNNNNNNNNNNNNNNNNNNNNNNNNNNNNNNNNNNNNNNNNNNNNNNNNNNNNNNNNNNNNNNNNNNNNNNNNNNNNNNNNNNNNNNNNNNNNNNNNNNNNNNNNNNNNNNNNNNNNNNNNNNNNNNNNNNNNNNNNNNNNNNNNNNNNNNNGUUGUUGUUGUUGUUGUUGUUGUUGUGAUGCUCUUGCAGACAUAUAUGGGGACAUUGUUGCUUGGGCUAUGAUGGGCAGAAGCUACUUACUGCUAUUAAUUUGUUAGGAACCUAUUGGAUCAAGGAUGGUGAUAAGGUUUCUUCUCAUUUCAUCGUAUUUUCUCGGAAAGUUUUCUUUUAUCUAAUCUUUAUAUGGUUUGCUUAUGUUGCUUGUUGCUAAUGCACUGAAAUAUGCAAUCUGUAAAAGGAGAUUAUUAGAUUAGGAACCACAUUCCAAUAAUUUCCAGUCCAUCUUAUGUCCAGGCUUUGAAGAAACUUGAUUUUUUGUUGAGAUGAAUCAGGAUAUGUCAUUUUGCAGUUGAAUGUGUGUGGACUUGCACGGAUGGAGCUUAUAAGUCAGAAGUUUGGCUGUAAUUGUUCUGAUUUGCAUUUUUAUUGUUUCGAUGUAGGAGUCUUUGAUUGGAAACUAAAAAGCGGUGCAUAUGGUCUGAAGAGAGACAUGUAAAAGCAGGUUCAAUUACUAAGGCUCCAGAGAAUUCUGGUUCAUAUGAUUCUCCCAAACCAAAAGGCAACAGAUUAUCACUUACAAGUAAAGAGCUGAAUAUGGGCCAAAGCAGAGAACUCUGUUUAUUAUAAGUUAGAACUUUCUUUUGGAGAUUUUAGAUGGAUUAUCUUCCCACCUAAUGAGAUAUGUACAUUUUCCUCUAUGAAGCACAAGUGAAACUGUUUGAACAUUUCCUUGGCUCGCUAAUUCUUGAUGUUUUUGCAUGUGCAGCUCACUUUUAUGAUGCAUGUCUCCAUUAGUUACAAUCUGGUCAAAACGUGAUCAGAGAGAGGACCCUCAUGAAAAUGAAGCCAAGCAUGUAAGUUCUGUAUACUGGCUUUGUCAUUAUUGUUGGUUCAUCUGUUCUAAUAUUGCCCUUCACCCUAUUGCUUUGCUAUCAAUGCUUGAUUCUUCCAUAGAAUGCAAACACUCGGCCUUAGUUGUUGGACUUUUGGUUAUAAAAGUAGGAUCUUGUUCAUCUAGGUGUUCCCAUUUAUAGUUUCUAUACUGGAACAUUGACAUAUAUAUGUUCCAUUUAUAGUUUCUAUGCCGAUAUUUUCCCAAUACUGCUCAUCAUCAUACCGAUAUAAACCUGGCUAUGUUACUUUGUAUGAUCAUGCAGAAGAAUUGGAAGAAUGGACGUAGUGUUGCAGAGUUUAAUGCAUAUAUUUAUGAAAUGUUUAACUAUAUGUAUGGAUUUGUCUUGCAUAGAGGCACUGUAACUUGUAAGAGCAGUUUAGGUAAUAUCCUCUUUGUAAAUGCAUUUUUGCAGACCCAAAAGCUGUGGAAGCAGACAUCAGAGAGGUGAACGGGAGGGUAAUCACCAUCAAGAUGAUUUAUUAAAGAACCAUCAAACUAGUUUUAAUGACAACAGGUGUGUUGUAGCUAAUUGUGAAUCCAGGUUGGUUCCUUUGCUUAGAGGGUGGUUCCCAUACAAGUUAGCAAACCCAGAGAGCAGAAUAAAACAGAAGAGCAGUGCAUCGCGAUCACACGAAUGGAAAGCAUUCACCUCUAGUUGAUAGAAAAUUAGUAAUUUGUAUCAUCUGUUCCAUUUCCUCAUUUGCAGAUGACAGUCAAUUAGUUGUGCAACAUGAUUUUACUUGGGGUUUGGCAUAAAAAAAAAGUCUUGGGAUUGUGUAAAAGAGCACCCCCACUCCCCAAUUUCCUCUCCAUGUACACUAGUUUCUAGGUUCUGUGUAAUCAAAUCUUGAUUUUCAUCAUUUUGCCUAAGAACACAAAUGCACUAAUAUCUCUUGGUCAUUACCUCAUUGGUUAGGGCAAAUCCAUCUAUCAUCACACUUAACUUCUGCAAUCUGGUUUGGGAUCUCCAUGGUUAUUAAGAAAAAGUUUAACUUCUUAUGCAUUGACGGUGUAAAAAAAUUACUCAUACCAUCAGGUUAAUCAGGAGGUAAGGUAACUACAUGUAAAUCAUACGAUAAGCAUUAGUUGAUAAUCAAAUAAAAACAUUAACUAACCUAUCAUCAAAGGUUAAACUACACUGAUAGCAUAAAAAAUCUUUACUCUAUUUGGUGUAAUAACUUAAAUCCAAGUUACAAAAUUGGUAUAUGAAUUAACUUGUGCAUCACAAUUCACAAACUUUCAGUCACUCCUUAGUGAAUAAAACCAAAAGGCUACUUACAACUAAUUACAAUUUUGUGCAUAUCAAAUGCCAAUGCCUUUGGUUUAUUAGAAUUACUUAAAUAAAUACUCACAGAAAAAGAAAAAAAAAGACCAGUUGCACACCCAUCUCAGCCUCAUAAUAUUGUGUGGGCAUAGAUUGAGAUAGCCUUUCUAAGACUUUCCUUCUUCCCUUCUAAAACCACCAAAUAAAAAAUCUAGAAUCAAACCCUCUAAAAAAUCCCAAGUUCUAAGAAGCCAUGGCCAACAUGAUGAUGAGCUCCUCCAAAGCCUUAAUCACUUCUUCAUCCUCCACCAUUCCUCCAUCUCCAAGAUUCAAACUUUCCCUCACCCAAAUCCCUUUUCCAAAACUACCCCUCCCAAAAUCACCCAAAACCCUUGAAACCCUCUCAAUCCCAUCAACUCUCAAGUCCAUUUCAGUCAUUCUUGCAAGCUCAUUGGCCAUGGCACCACCUUCACUAGCAGAAGAAAUUGAAAAAGCUUCCCUUUUUGACUUCAACCUGACACUCCCCAUCAUGAUGGCUGAAUUCCUCUUUCUCAUGUUUGCUUUAGACAAGAUUUACUUCAGCCCAUUAGGGAAAUUCAUGGAUGAAAGAGAUUCUUCCAUUAAGGAGAAACUUAGCAGUGUAAAGGACACAUCUGCUGAAGUGAAGCAACUGGAAGACCAAGCUGCUGCAAUUAUGAAGGCUGCAAGGGCUGAGAUAUCAGCAGCAUUGAACAAGAUGAAGAAAGAGACUCAGCAAGAAGUAGAACAGAAGAUUGCAGAAGGAAGGAAGAAAGUUGAGGCUGAAUU
This 45002-nucleotide long non-coding RNA is filed under the name Solanum tuberosum (potato). Its description in RNAcentral is "long non-coding RNA (STUB_LNC006668)". The record is from RNAcentral. Lineage: Eukaryota; Viridiplantae; Streptophyta; Magnoliopsida; Solanales; Solanaceae.